RNAcentral lists this long non-coding RNA (52167 nucleotides) under Prunus persica (peach). RNAcentral's name for it is "long non-coding RNA (PPER_LNC002595)". Lineage: Eukaryota; Viridiplantae; Streptophyta; Magnoliopsida; Rosales; Rosaceae. The record is from RNAcentral.
UUAAUGAUGGGAAAGAAAAAGAUCUAUCUUAUUUCCUCAUCUUUCCAUUUAUGCUGUGGAGGAUGAUCCACAACCAGAUAUGGAUCACUCUGUCUCGAUACCAGACCGCCAAGGGCAAUGGCCGAAUCGUUGACAAACCUCUUGAGUUUGAGCAAGUCGACCGAGAAAGAAAUUGGUGAGCAUUUAUAAAGACCUAAAUAAGUUUUAGAACUUAACUUUGACACGUAAACUCGCAAUGUAAUCUCAUAAUCUGUCUGAAAACAAAGUAUCCAAGUUCUAUACUUAAGUAAGGGACUUGUGCCCAGUUAAGAUCAUGCAUCAUUGCACUUGAAGUCUUAAAUUCGAUACUCCCCUCUUUAUCGUUUGUAUAAAAAAAGUCCCAACUUAGGUUCUCAUUAGAUAGCAUAUAAUUACUAGAACCUGAACGUCAUUUGGGAUUUUGUUUUGAUUGUUUUUGUUUUUUUGUUUGUUUGGAAUUUAGGGAUGAUCAAAUAGUGUUCAAUGGGAUUUUGUUCUGCCUAGGCAGCAGGCAUAUGCCUGGGGCUCAAAAUCUGCCACUUUGGAGGACAGAUGGGGUUCUCUUGACGAUUUUGCUGCAUGCUGGCCCAGUGGAGUACCUCUACUAUUGGCUCCACAGAGCACUUCACCAUCAUUUCCUCUACUCUCGCUACCAUUCUCAUCACCAUUCCUCUAUUGUCACUGAGCCAAUCACUUGUAAGAAAAAUAACCCUAAAUUAAUAGGAUUUUUCUUCUGAGCAUAUUUUGUUUAAAUAAUUUUUUUUACUUUCUAUUAUUGACUACCUGUUCAAUAAAGAUAGACCUCAUUAAUAUAUAUGGGACUUACCUGUAUUAAAGAAGUUGUGAGAAAUGUAGCCACGAAACGUGGCACAAAUAGUAACACUCAUUUUAUAUAAAUUUAGUAGGUGAAAAUGUUUUAAUGAAGUAUAUGCAAAACAAAAAACUAAUAAACAAAGGUAACCUAAAAUUGACAUGGAUUAUUAUUUUUAUUUUAUGUAUAUUUUGCAGCUGUGAUUCAUCCAUUUGCGGAGCACAUAGCAUAUUUCGUACUCUUUGCUAUACCUAUGUUGACGACUACACUCACGGGGACAGCUUCAAUCAUAUCCUUUGCUGGCUAUGUUACUUAUAUUGACUUCAUGAACAACAUGGGACACUGCAAUUUUGAGCUCAUUCCAAACUGGCUCUUCUCCAUUUUCCCUCCUCUUAAGUAUCUCAUGUACACCCCAUCGUGAGUCUCUCUCUCUCUCUCUCUCUCUCUCUCUCUCUCUCUCUCUCUCUAUAUAUAUAUAUAUAUAUAUAUAUAACUGAUCGUACAGAAGAACCACUUUACAUACAUAGACUCCAAAAGGAGCGAUGCAUGUAUCGUUUACAUAAUUUAGAGGUAACAAAAAUUACAAGUAAUUUCAGACAAAAAAAUAAUUACAAAAUCAUUUUCUGUUAGAAUAAUUAUUGUGUUACCAUUGAUGUUAUAAUAACAUGAUCCAAUUGAAAAGGAAACGCUUGAACACGUGUACGGAGAGAUAUCCAUGUGGACCACGCUGGUAGAGACACCCGUGUCAUGAUGUCAUGCACAAGUGACGUUCCUCAUGUGGCUCAUAGCUUGUAAUUAAUGUUCAUUUGGACCCUAAUUAGAAUUCAUACCAGCUGCCAAACCUAAAUUUUUUGGGGCUUUCAGCAAAUAGGCCUAGUUUAUCAUGACAUGUUAUAUAAAAGAGUGCUUCUAAGAGCAUCUCCACCCACAAGGGCUAAGUCUAAGGCAAAGGCAAGCAAGGGCUGCCACUAUUCACGUGAAUAGUGUCAGCCUUUGCAUUUGUGGUUCCACCCAUGGGGCAAAGUCUAGGGCAAGUCUAAGGCAAUUACUAUUCAUUGUACUUUAUUUCCUAUUUUUUUAUACUUUAAACCAUUAAUUUUGAUAACCUUUUAAGAUUAUAUUUUCGGUUGUCAUGUGUCACUAUUUAUUAUAAAAUUUUUACUUAAAAUUUAAGAUAACAUUUUUCGGAUAAAAUUUUCAAAUAAAAUUUUCGGAUAAAAUUUUCGGUUGCCACGUGUCCAUAUUUGUUAUAAAAUUCACAUCCCACUCAUAGGGAAAAUGAAUAAAAUUGUUAGGUAUUUAUAGGGAAAAUAUCCAGAAUUUUUUGGUAUUUUUUUAAAAAAAAUUUGAAUUUUUUUCGAUUUUUUUUGCAAUUUUUUAAGCCAAAAAAAGCAAGGCCGUCAGAUUUCUGGAAAAAAUUGCAUCGGAGGGUCCGGGACGCGCCACGUGGCAUAUUCCCGUUGGAGCCUGUCGGAAGUGACGUCACGCUGAUGUCAGCGAGCGAAAAUCAAUUUUUUUUUACUGUUGGCGCGUGAAUUUCACGCGCCAACGGUAAAAAAAAUUUGAGUUACUGUGCGCUGGCGUCAGCGUGACGCCAGCGCUGACGUCACCAAACUCGGGCUUCAGCCCGGGCAAGACUUGCCCUUGGGCUUGAUCGGGCUCGUGGGACCCACCACGAAACCGAGCUGCGGGCCUUGCGCUGGAGCCAUCUCGGGCUCGCCCAGGGGGCCUUUCACCCGGUUUCCUAUGCGCGCUGGACGUGCUCUAAACGAACUUUAAAAGUAACUGAAUACACCAUAUUACUAAACUAUUUAUUGAAUUAUUAAUUUAUUCUAAUAUAAAAUGAUCAAAAAUAAUAUAUUGAAUUGUGAAAUAAAUAAAAUUUUAAUAAGUACACCUUACUCACUAUAUUCAAACCUUAUCAUACAUAGAAAAGUCUUCGUAUUGCUUGGUGCUCACGAAUAACGCAGUGAAUACUAGUUUAGGAUUAGUAUUACGAAAUUAAAGAUUUUGAUGAAAUCCAAAAUCUGAAAAGAUGGCACAAAUUCAUGUAAAAAGAGAAACUUGGUUUAUGAUUGAUAUUAGAGUGUUGUACUAGGGCUAUUUUUGGUAGUUAAAUACGGUGUACUUAGUUAAUUUUACAUUUUGAUUAAAAUAUUAGGGUUAACUUAGAUUAUAGGGUGCACUCAGUUAAUUUUAGGGUUCGUUUAGCAGCACUCUAUAUAAAAUUUCUUAGGCUUUUGGUUCAUAUGAAAGGAGAUUUGGGGACAAAAAAUUAAUUACUUUAUCAUGCUUGGUAAGUUCAGGCACGUGAAAUAGUUGUUUGACACAUCCUUGGAAACUUUGGGAAAAUGGACCAUCAUUAAAUGCACAUUUUUCAUGAUCAUUUUGUUCCAUUAACAAUUUAGAAUUACAAUAUAACAUUAAAUCCAUUUUUGUUAGUGUUGUUGAAUGAACCUUAAAAUUAAUUGAGUAUACCCUAUAAUCUAAGUACAUUCUAAUAUUUAAAUUAAAAUACAAAAUUAACUAAAUACACCCUAUUUAACUACCAAAAAUACCUCUAAUACAUCCUAACGCUGCAAAAUAAGGUCUAUCAGAUUUACAAGAUCUUUUACAUAAUCAAGAGAGUAUAAGGUUUCUAUAGGAUUAAUUGUUUUCAAUUAUCCAAGGAUGCUAGAAUUGAUGUGGAGAAGGAAUGUAAUGAUAUGAUCUAUUUGUCGUGUCUUGAGAAGCUUUCCGUGGAAAAGGAGGGGGAGGAGGAAGAAGAGGGCGCAGAGAGAGAAUUUGUUAUUGGUAAAAAAAUUUACAACCUAAACCAGAAAAACCAAAAUUAAUACCUCUUUUGAUGACUCAUUCGACAUGUCUGAAGCAUUCAUGAGACUUGUUUGCUUCAAUGAAUUACUAAAUGAUGACGAAACAAAUUAUUGGAGUUAAUAUUAAGGUUUUUGGAAGUAAAUUUUUUCACUUACGUUUGAUUAGGGUUGAAUAUGGUGAGUAGAGUGUACUUAUUAAAAUUAUAUUUAUUUCACAAUUCAAUAUAUUGUACUUAUUAAAAUUAUAUUUAUUUCACAAUUCAAUAUAUUAUUUUUUGUCAUUUUAUAUUAGGGUAAAUUAGUAAUUUAAUAAAUAGUUUGAAAAAAAAUUAAACAAACUUUGUUUUAUAUUCCUACGCAAACCAAACAUGGGAAAUGAAAUAAAAUGGUAUUUUCUAUUUACUUUUCCACCAUUAUCGAACAUGGGAAAUGAAUAUUCUAUUUCUCAUCCUUUGAAAAAAUACAUGAGAAAUUAUUUCCCAUCAAAUCCUUAUUAGAAGACAUAAGUGCUUUUGUUAAAAGUACUUUUAGUAAAAGAACAUUGAAAUAUUUGUUAAAAAUCUAAGUGCUUAUUGAAUGUGCCUUUUCAAAAACGGCUUUUAUUACUCAUAAAGUACAUUAAAUUUUUAUUAUGUUAAACGUGAUAAUUAGAAGUGCUUUUACUUGUCAUAUAUUAUCGGUCAUAUGAUAUAUCUUUAAGACUCUAAAUUUCUGACCACACAAAUCACAUGAUAUAUCAUUAUCCAUGAUUGAUUCAAUGUCGACAUAUGCAGGUUCCACUCUUUGCAUCACACGCAAUUCAGGACCAAUUACUCACUCUUCAUGCCAAUCUACGACUACAUCUAUGGAACCAUGGACAAAUCUUCAGAUUCUCUCUACGAAACUUCACUCAAGAGAAAGGAAGAAACACCAGAUGUCCUUCAUCUAACUCAUCUAACAACACCUGAGUCCAUCUAUCAUCUACCGCUAGGAUUUGCUUCCUUGUCCUCUAAGCCCCACACAUCACACUGGUACCUAUGGUUGAUGUGGCCUGUGACACUGUGGUCCGCGAUGCUUACUUGGAUCUAUGGCCGUACAUUUGUGGUUGAGCGGCAGCGUUUUGACAAGCUAAGAUUACAAGCUUGGGUCAUACCCAAAUACAGCUUGCAAGUACGACCAUCAUGAACUUUUUACUUCUAAUUUAUAGGUCACUUAUUAUUUUAUUUUUUAAUGAGAUUUGAUCUGUUAUUUUUUGGUUUUAUAAAUUAAUUGCAGUACUUCUUGCAAUGGCAAAAUGAAGCUAUCAAUGGUUUGAUUGAGGAAGCCAUACUGGAAGCAGAGGAAAAGGGUGUCAAAGUUUUAAGUUUAGGUCUCUUGAAUCAGGUAAUCAAUUAGGGACUCGUUUGGUUGUUUGGUUUGAAUUGAAUUAGAGUGGAGCUCAAGUCAGUUUUUAUGAAUCAUAUCCGUCUAGAUGAGAGAUUUAUAAGGUAAAGGUUGGACUGUUACCUAAUUAAUAAGUCCAUUCCCAGUAUUUAUAAGUUCACAAGGACCACAACAUUUUUUCUAAUUUAGCCUAAAUUCUACUUAAUUUGUUUUCUGACAAUUUCUAAACCAAUUAAUAAUGGAAUUGAGGUGGAUAUGUAUUUAAUGUUAAAGACUCAAGGUAGCUUUAUAUUGUGGCACCCUUAAUUAAUGCCAAGCUCCAUAUUCUGGCACCUUUUUUUUUGUUUUUUGUUUUUUUGGUACCUUUUUUUGUUUUGUUUUGUUUUUUCAUUUUUCUCAAUGCUAUACCAAUAGCUGUAACAAGUAAGAAAAACAUGUAAUCUUUUAAUUAUUUCGGUUACAAAAUUAAAAAAAUUAACAUAAAACUUUGCAAAAUAUGCAGGGUGAGGAGCUGAACAGAUACGGGGGUCUAUAUGUUCACAGGUAUCCUGAGCUGAAAAUGAAGGUGGUGGAUGGAAGUAGCUUAGCUGUGGCUGUAAUCUUAAACAGCAUUCCAAAAGGGACAACCGAAGUUCUUCUGAGAGGCAACCUCACCAAGGUUGCUUAUGCCACUGCCUUUGCUUUGUGUCAGAAGGGUAUCCAGGUAAAUUUAUGCAUCACCUAUAAACAGGGACGGAGCUAGAAUUGCAAAAUUAAGGAGCCGAAAUAAAAAAUACAAUUAUACCUAACACCUAAAUAUAUUCAAGAGUUACAUGUGAGAGCUUAAUAUUUCUAACUUAGCCAUGAAUAAACCCUCUCUUAAAACUCUCUGAUUUUUGUCCUUCCUUCUCGGUUCUCUGAUUUCUAUCCUUUCUUUUGUCCAUUCAAUCUAUAUUUUCUUCUCCUUAAUCUCUUAUAUUCUUCUUUGUUCUAUUGUUUGAGUGCUUAAUUAAAUACCUGCGGAUUGUCCUACAUCAAUUGAUAUUAGAGCCAAAUUUUGGUUUAGAUGGGGCCAUUAACUUUAAUUAUAAGUUGUCUAAAGUGACAUAAAAAAUCUGGGGCCAGAGCCACUCUGACAUGUUGGGUCUAAUCAUCUACGAGACGAUGUUUUUUCCAAUAUCCUAACAUAAAUUGUGAUAAUUUCAGGUAGCUACUUUGAACCAGACCGAGUAUUUGAAGCUAACAAAAUCAUUAAAUGUCACUGACAGUCGUUUGGUCCUUGCAAGAAGUUAUGCCCAAAAGGUAUCAAUUAUCUGCUACAGAUGUUACCUUCUUUAAUCCUAUUUUGCUGUUAUAUUUUGGACACUUAAGAAUGAUAUUAAAAAUGUGCUAAUUAAUUGAAUUUGCAGAUUUGGUUAGUGGGAGAUGGAUUGAGUGAAGAAGAACAACUGAGAGCACCGAAAGGAACAUUAUUUGUUCCUUUCUCCCAAUUCCCACAAAAAAAACUGCGUAAAGACUGCUUCUACCACUACACUCCAGCAAUGAAGACACCCCCAUCUCUUGAGAAUGUUCAUGCUUGUGAGGUAAUUAAGCAAUUGUUUUAUUUUUUCUUGUUAUUAAUUAGUAAAUUAUGACUAAUAUAUAUUUUUAUGUUAUUAAUUUGCAUUGUUAAUUAUGUUAUUAACAGAAUUGGUUGCCAAGAAGGGUGAUGAGUGCAUGGCGCAUAGCAGGCAUAGUGCAUGCCUUGGAAGGCUGGAAGGAGCAUGAGUGUGGGUACAACAUGUCCAAUAUUGACAAAGUUUGGCAAGCAACUCUCCAACAUGGCUUUCAGCCUCUCAUGAUCUCUACCACCCACACCAAAAAUUAGUUGGCUUCAUCAAAAUAUUAAUGACAUGCACCCUCUUCUUUAUUAUAAGUAGUCCCUUAUUUCUGUUGGGUUUUUAAUUAUGUGACUAUUAUUAUGGCUUUUGGCUUUUGGCUUUUAUGUAACUCUGUUGUCAUGGCUUUUAUUAUCAUGGUGUGUAUCAGUUACUGUAUUGCGGAUAUAACUAUUUAUUGAAGUAGUAUUCAUUUCAAUAAUGACGGAUUCAUAAUUUGAAAGUCGAUUAAACGAAAUUUACCAACUAAACUCACCAAUACAAGCAAAUUCUAUUAAUAAACAUAAAAAAUACACCAAUAUAUAAUUUACAUAAUAUAUUUUAUAUAUUUCUUGAAAUUAAUUAAAAACAACAAUCUAUGUUGCAUGUUAAGAGGAGGAUAUGACAGUUAAAAUAUUUUAUUAUAUAUAUAUAUUGUUGUAAAUGCAUGAGUUGGUGGAUGACCACCAUACCUCUUAGCAUUCACCCUUUCUAAUUCUAUAUGUAACCUAUACACUAAAUACCAUAGUUAUGAGCUAAUAAUUUAUGAGUUGUUAAUGUCUUCUUAUCACUGUAAGCCUAUAAAUAAGAGGUCUUACCAGGAUAAGAUAUACAAGUUGAUUGUCACAAAUUCUAUUGUCUUUCUCUACUUUCCAAUUCUCUCUACAAUUUUCUCUCAAUUAUAUAACAUGUUAUUAGCAUGAGCCUCUAACCACUUGAGGUUUUGUUUUUCUAUCUUAGAAAUAGAAUAGUUUCCUCUUAUAUAUUACAAGUAUAGAACUCUUGUUACAUAGGAUUUGACAAAUGAAAAGAAGUGCAUCAACAAAAGAAAACUGAACAACAAAAUUCCAAACAAAUAAGUUAUUUUAUUUUUAUUUUCAUUUACAUAUCUAGUGCAUAUGAAAUUUGACAUCUUAAUUUUUUGUGACUUUAAUAUACACUAGCGUGAAAAUGCCACCCUAUGCUUUUGUGGAAAUGUUAGUACAUACAUUCUGACUGUGACCUACUACUUAUUCAUAAAUCAUGUGGUACCUCGUAAAUCUAGUUCUCCAACUAUUUUAAUAUGAAAAAAGUUAUAGUUUGUUUAUUUCAAGAUACAACUAGGACUGUCCAAUUCUAUUCAAUGUAUUGAAUUUUUCACCUCAUACGACGCUUACCUAUAUGACAAUUUAAUGAACUUUUUAGAAUUCCAGUUUGUUACGUAAGGUAAUUUAAAACUCAGAUAUGCUAAAUAAGAGAAGACUGCAUAAUUGAAGGAGAUUGCACAAACUAUCAAGGAGAUGAAGUGAAGAAGACAAGGUAGGAAUCCCGACAAAGCAAUUGAUCGGUUUCUGAUACGAUCAAUUCUCAAUGCUAAGCUUUUGAUUGGAAAUUCUUGUUGGCUUAUUUCAUCCUGCACACAACAGAAGAGAGUAGUUGAAAUGUCACGUAAGUUGUGUCAAUAAGAAUCAAACCAUUAUAACAAAGCUAGGCCUAAUGUGCUUGUAGCUCUUGAGGUGCAAAUCUCAUGCGAACCUGGCCAAUAAGCACGCAACUAAUUUUGAUCAGCUCCAAAUCCUGUAUCAAGACCCCAAAUUUGAGUUGACUACUUUUGAUCAGCUAGGUCUAAUAACAAACAAUUCGUCUAUCUGAACAUACUUAUUGAUUGCUAAUGUAAUUGCUUAUUGAUUUGCAGUAUGUUAACAGAUACUUUGUUCAAAUGCAUAAAAUAUGCAACUCUUGCAUACAUGAGUUGAUUAAUGCUCUGCAGAGAGAGAGAGAGAGAGAGAGAGAAAUUGUCAUCCACGAAACAAUAACUGAUGAAUCUAAUGGUAAAUACAUGGCUAGAAAAGGUAGUGAUGGGAACUUAGUAAUAUCAAUUGUAAGAAGACCGUCAUUAGCUUUUCAAGUAUUUAUGUGCAGAAAUUUGAGGAGGCGGCUUUUUUAACAAAGGUUGCCAAAAUUUAGCUGCUCUUUUAAGAAUCACAGUUUUUAUUAAACUUUUCAACAAUAGCAAAAAAUAAGGAGGUGCAAGGCCUAAGAAGCAAAUGAAAGUGGUUACCCUCCAAAUCAAAAGUCCAAUGCGCCCCAAUUUUUUACUAUUGUUGAACGAUUUCAUAGAAACUGAAGUUGUUAAAAAGAGGGAGAAAAUCAUCACAAGUUUUGUUAAAAACCAUUUGGAAAGAGCAUGGCUUUUGCAGCAGAUAGAUUUUUGGUGAGAGUUUCCACUUGCAUCAGCUGAAGUGUGAGAAUUGUGAGGAGAAGUAGCUUUUGUGAUGAUGUUGAUGGAGUGGUUCAUCAUCAUAAUUUGGUUGAGUUCUUCCACAUCUUGCUUGUGCACCAAACGGAACCCACACUUCUUUAUACCCGAGUAAUAUAUUCUGUCAGGGUAAGCGUCAGAAAAACUAUGGAAUGAAAUCUUCAUCUGACUGCAUUCUUUGUCGACUACAUAAUGAUAUACACAAGAUACCCAAAGGUGAGGUGACACAAGAUGGCCUUUAGUAAUGGGAUUACUACGCACACAGGCACCUUCUCUUGGGCGACAUUCAAUUUGAGAAUUGGUAGAAAGGUAUUGAGGUGGAUUGGGGUGAUCCACAGGGGCACCUUCUUCAAAGACAUCACAAAAAGCAAUCCAAAUCGAAGUGGUACAUGAAGGUAGCUCCACAAUUAAGGAAUAUCCUACACUUUGAUUAUUGAACCACUCUGGAAUUCUACUUCCAGGUGUUACAAUUUGGAAAGCGGGAAUAUUCCAACGAGGUACCUGUACCAUGUAUAGGUUAGUAACUUGAGUAUUUAUUAUUAUACUAUCAUCGCAAACAAAGAGAGACAGAGAGACAGAGAGAGAACCUGAAGAAAUCUCCAAUCCAUAGCAAUCCAGAGCAUUCCAAGUAUUAUACUCUCAUCGCAGCCUUCAUUCUCAACCAAUCCAAAGCAAUUCACACAUCUCAACUUAACAUAUCUUCUUCCUUCUUUUAUGCUCAACUUUGGCAACAUUGUUAAGGAAGUGCAAUCGUCUGUGUUCAUGUAAAUUUCGCAGAAGCCUUCAUUAUCAACGAAUCCAAAGCGGAGAUGGGGCAAUUGUUGAAGCCUUUGGCACCCAUUCACCUUAAGUGACUUAAGCUUAGGAAGACAUCCAAUGCUUGGAGGAAGGCUAACAAAAUUGUUUCGACUAAGGUCUAAUUCUUCUAAAGAGGACAAGCAGCCAAUAUCAACGGGAAUAUCCCCUUCACAAAGACCACAAUCAUUGAGAUCCAAAAACUUCAAAGACCAUAAACCAUGUACCGAACCCAACACAAAAGCUUUUCUUUGAAGGCCCCACCAAAACCUUGAUUUGUCACUAAAUGUGUUUCUACUAAAGAGCCAUUCAAGAGACUUCAAAUUACAAAUUUCGCUCGGAAGACCUAAGAGAUUUUCACAAUUGCCUACAUUCAGAAAAGUAAGGCCAACAAGACGUCCAAUUGAUGAAGGUAAUUUCUCAACGGGCGUCCCUUUUAAAUCAGGAGUUGAAAUUUUUUUCAUUUGUCCUGAAAAUUCUGGAAUCUUUUUCAGUUUUGAGCAACCCUGAAGAUAUAAAUAUAUAAGAGAAUCCAUUUCUAUCUCCUUUGGAAGACUCUUAACACUUUUGCAUCCAUUUAGUAUUAAAUGUGUAAGCCAUUUGAGAUCUGCGACGGAUGGGUGAAUCUCAACUAAAUUCUCACACCAUUGAAGAUUCAACACCUUGAGUUUUGGAAUGCCAGUGAAAAUUGGGGUUGUUGCCAAGUUUCGAGAGAAACUAAGGCCUAUGUAUUUCAAAUUGGGCAAGUCCUGUACAAUAUCACAUGAAAAAUGGUAGAAUAUAUAAUUAGCAAUAGAAAAAAAUUAAACUUUUAGUUUAGUUUUUCAAAAAAUUCGUAAGAUGGCAUAUGGUCAGUAAUCUUACAAUUCUUUCAUCCCAGAGCCCAACUAGUUUGCUGUGCCACAUCUUAAGCGAAACAAGUUUAUUCAAUUGAAAAUUUGAUGGGAGAUAUUUGGAAGAAUACCGAUUCCAUUUCAUAAUUCUUAAUGAAUUAGGAAGAAUUCUGGGGAUUGAGGAAAUGAUCACAUUAUCAACUUCAAGAAAUUUCAGGUUAAUCAUCUUAGAGAAUGCUUCACAAUUCCAAUAUCCACCUUUCAAGCUCCGCCAUUCUUAAGGCAAUGCCUUGAAUUUUGUUAGUUGCCUGUAAUAAAGAAUAUAAAAGGAAAAGUUAAUUCGAGAAGUAAGUCUAGUAUUGAGUUAAAAAGAAAUCAAAUUUCUUUUUUUUUUUUUUUAAAAAAAAGAAGGUAUUUUCUACAUAAUUUUAAGAGCUAAUGGAAGGCCUCCCACAUAAUUUACAAAGCACUUGGACAAUUCCAAAAAACCUUCCUCAGGCUCAAAUUUUUUAAAGGCGUUCAGACCAAAGAGCUCAAGAGCCUCGUCAUCGCCAAAUCCCUCAACCUUAUAUGAUAUCUCCAUAUCAUGCUUUUUAACCAACCGUUUAUCUCUAGUUGUAAUGAUGAUUAUACUCCCCUUGCCAAACCAAUCCUUUUCCUUAGCAAAUUUCUCUAGUUGGCUUGAUGCAUUCACAUCAUCAAGAAUGAGAAGAACCUUUUUAUUACAUAAGCAAUUCUUAAUGAAAUAGGUCCCCCAGUCUUCAUUCAAAACUUGAGUAAUUUGUUUCUUCAAGACAGGGAAAAGAAGCUGUGUUUGUAGAUCAACAAGACAGUUACCUUCAGAAGCCUCUCUAACAUUAGCAAGAAAGCAGCUAACUUCAAAAUGAAUAUAUAUGCUUUCAUAAACAAGCCUAGCAAUGGUUGUCUUGCCAAUGCCUCCCAUCCCCCAUAUCCCUACAAAGCGAACAUCAUCUGUAGGAUCUAAAAGCAAAUCCAUUUGCUCACGUGUAAACUUAAUUCCCACUAACUCUGUGGAAUCUAACAAUUUGAAUGUGCGAUGCACUUUCCUCCAUACCCAUUCAACAAUCUUUUCAAUGAGCUUUCUUUCACACGUACAAGGAAGAACAAUGAUUAAGUCAGAAGCCAUAGAUAUAACAAGGUCUGAAGGUACAUCAAAGUGAAAAUUGGCUUACGAAAUACCCAAGUAUAUAUGGAGAAGUUGCUUAUUCAUUUUUUGAAUUGAACCCAGAUAAAUUGGCAACUUCUGUUAAAGCAGCUCUCCAGCGCUUCACCUUUUCUAUAUCUUCCCUAAACCUUUUCUCAUGCUCGGCGAACGCGCCUGCAAAAAUGCCACUUUGUAUUCGCACAUCGGAGGGAUCCACAUUAAAAAACAUAGGCAGAACUGUGUCGUUGGAUUUCAUGCAUUGGAGAUUAUUUGUAAGUUCAUCCAAGCACCAGGAAGAAGAAGCAUAGUUUGGCGAGAGAACAACGAUUGCAAGCCUUGAUUCUUGGAUUGCUUUGAAGAGCUCAGAAGAAAUAGUUGUCCCUCUUUCAAGCUUUGGAUCAUCCAUGAAUGUUUUGAUGCACCUGUGCUGUAAUUCGUGGUAUAAAUGGGAUAAAAAGCUAUUUCGAGUGUCUACACCCCUGAAACUUAAAAACACAUCGUAGUUCCAUUGAGGAGGAGCCGACUGAUCAGCUGAAGGAAGAAAGGCAGAGGCUCUUUGGGUGCUCAACGCCAUUGGAAAUCUGCUGCUUCUGCUGUAAAUACUACUCAAUGAAACAAGAACUUCGCUAAUUAAAUAUUCAAAAAUCAAAGCACUCAACUGAUCAUAAAUGGCUUGAAAAAUCAAAAAGAUUGAAAUUGAAAUUUGGAAACUUAGGGGCGUUGAAGGCAUAUAAUGCAGCAGAACAAGUUUCAGAGCAACUGGGUAAAUUUGGAUAGUCAAACAUGGUGUUAAUUUGGAUCAUCUAAGCAAACAGGUCAAUUUGGACCAUGUUAGCCAGAGAGAAUUGGUAAGACCAACAAUAUGAAGCAAAGCUAACAGCCUCAGAAAAGAGACACAGAAAGAAAGAGACAGAAGUUGGAAACCGUGUAGUUGCGAGGCGAGCACGCGGUUUCUCUUGGGUCAAUGAAGACUAUCGGGCCAAUUAUUUAUUUUUAUUUAUUUAAUUUUAUUCUUGGUGUGAGAAAAGGCAAUUACCUGAUAUUUCCCUCAGAUCAAUCAAUAAUAUAAUUUUUUUGUUAAAGAAUCAAGGAUAUUCCCUUCUGGCAUGAAAUCCCCACCAUCUACAAAAUCAUUUGAAUACAAAUGCUUAUUAAUAUUCCCAAUAUGAAGUAAGCAUUGACUCAAAAUUCAUUAAUUAGUCACCUCAUCUGCAAAUGCUUCGCCCAAAGAGCAAUAUAACUCUGCACAAAUCACAGCCCAACCCAGUUUUGUUAGGGCAAUUUGCAGUGAUCACAGUGGGUUCCCCAACCUUCUCCGCCUUGCUAAUUACCACAACAUCCUGGAAAGCUCAGUGGCAACAGAGAAAAUGUGAACCAAAACGCACUGCAUGCCAAAGUCAACAAAAUUUCCUGUCCAUGGACUCACUGCAACCUUCUCUGCCUUCCUUUUUUUAUUUUAUUUCUCACUGUGUGUUUCCUAAGAGACUAGUGUGCAAAUAUGAUCAAGUUUUCUACUUGACAAAUUAAAAUCUGUACAAGUACUUCCUAUCUCUUAGCUUGAGCCUUGAAAUAUAAAUAUGAAUUUAACUCGGUAUACCAACUUCAUAUCUCUGUUUUACUAAAAUCACAAGAAAAAAAGGUCCAAAAUGGAUUAAAAUCUGUAAAAAAAUCAUUCUUAUCUUAUAGCUGGAAAGGGAAGAAUAAAUUAAACUAGAGUUGUUGUCAAAUUAUUAAAUAAAGAUCAAAACCAAAUUGUACCAACUUGAGAUCUCUGUUUUAUAGAAGAGAGUCGGGUCAAAGGAAAAUAAAGGUGAAGGAAAUUACCCGAACAACACCCUCCCUAGCUGACAAAACAAGAAUACCUGAACAAGAAACAGCUCCAGGGCACUCCCUCUCCACUGGUUCUUUAAUUUCUUCAAUGUACCUAAAGCUUCUCAUCCAAAAGCUCAUGGUCUGAAAAAUAGCCAAAAAGAAAAGAAUUAAAACAGGGGAGUAAGUACUGAUCUAUUGGAUAAAACGUAAUUCGGCUCUAUAUAGGUUUCAGAAACAAACAAAACUUAAAAAAAAAAAAAAGGUUUUUAGGUCUAAUGGUCCCUAAAUUUUGACCCGAUUUGCAUUUUGGUCCCUUAGUUUCCAAAAUCGUUACCGUGAUCCUUCAACUUCACUUUCGUUAGGACAAAUAGUCCUGCUAUCGAUUUUGUUAUCUUUUAUGUCCAAUGCAUAGGCAAAAUGGUAUUUGUGUAUUAUUUCAAGCAGUUUCUCACUCCUUAUUGCUCAUUUCUUUAUGAGAUUUGUCAAUUUUCCUUUUGCACAUUCAAUACAUGUUUUAUCCUUUUCAUGGUGGUUAAGUGGUGGAAGAAUUGAUUCUUUGCUUAAGAGAUUCAUUCUUUCUUUCGAGACAUGUCCAAGUCUCUUAUGCCACAGUGUGAAUGAUUAUGUAUUACAAGACUAUUUUGAGCUUGUCACAUUUAUCAUCUCUGUAUUUUGAUUUGGCAAUUUGCAGUUCAGACGAAACAUUCCAUCAAUCAACAAUCCGUUACCAAUAAAACUUUUAUAUCUGAAAAUAGAGAAAUCAGACUCAUCAAACUCAAACUUUUACAAGUUUCCUAACUGAUAAGAGGUUCCUUGUCACAGAAGGAACAUAAACGACAUUAACUAAUUCCAAAAUAAAACCUGACUGCAACUCAAGACUAGCUAAACCAACAAAAUCUACUCUUAACUUUUUCUCCAUUUCCCACGAACACCUUCAAGUCAUCCUUGUUGGGCACCCUCUUUGUUUUGAAUCCCUGCAAAGAGUUAGUCACAUGAACUGUUGCACCACUGUCUAACCACCAUGAAUUAGAUAAAACUUCAACUGUAUUAGAUUCAUAAAUCACAUAGAUGUUUUCAUGAUUACCUUUUUCCUUUUGCUUGUCCAACCAACGUUUGUAUCUUCUGCAAUCUCUCUUCAAGUGUCCAAAUUUCUUGCGGAAGAAACACUUCAAACCUACUGGACCCAUGCCCUUCGUAGUCUCAUCUUUCCUUUGCUGCUUAUCUGCAUUCCUGUUUUUGGUCUAUUCAUUUGGUUUGAAUUUAGCAUCCUGAACUAAAUACACUUGUUCUUUGCUUUUGUCCUUUCUAAUACUUUGUUCUUCCUGCACACAUAUACCUCUCAAAUCAGCAACUGACCAUAUCUCCUUCUGAGCAAUAUAAGUAGUUUUCAACUGUCUAUAAAUGUUAGGUAGAGAGUUAAUGGCGUAGUGCACCAUCAUGGUUUCAUCUACAUUGACUUUCAGGUCUUUCAGCUUGUUUCCUAUCUCAACCAUGUUCAGAAUGUGGGUCCUUAUGCAGCCUUCUCCAUUGUAUUUCAUAUAUGUCAGUUGGCUCAUGAGUGUGCCUAUUUCAGCUUUCUUGGAUCCUUAGAAAUUUUCUGCAAUAGCUUCAAUGAACUCCUUAGCAUUCUCAAUUUCAGUAAUACUGCCUCUGACUUCUUCUGAAAUAGAUCUCCUCAUGAUCAGAAUUGCCAUUUUAUUGGCCUUAAUCCACUUUGCAUAUUUUGCCUUAGUCUCAGCAGAUGCAUCAUUUGCAGGCACUGAUAGAGCUUCAUCAUUGAGAACCAUUUCAUAAUCCAGAAGUCCAAGAGCAAUUUCCACAUCUUCUCUCCAUUUCUUAUAAUUUGAGCCAGUGAGAGUUCGAAUCGAGUUAUGAUUGACUGUACGUGUUUUAAAACAAGAUAAGCACUUUAUAUAAACAACUUUCCCCAAAACUUUAAUCAAACAUACUUAACUCACAUCUUUGGACAGUAAAUUAAGCAUGCUUAUUGACACUGGAAAACAAAUAUAUGUGAAUUUCCUAAGCAAAAGAUCUUCCACAUCUUUGGAUAGAAGAAAAUCUUUCAUUAAUCCAUAUCUAUCCAUAUCCCAUGUAUAUCCACCAUGAUAAAAACAUAUCAAACUGCUUACAUCUUUGGACAGAAAGCCUUUCGACAUGUUUUGCAUCAUGAUGCAAAUUUUUAGAUCAUAAACUUUGAAUACAGUGAUCAUGCAGUAAUUGAAUCGCUUUGGCUCACUCAAUCACUACACAAGGAUUGUAAGCAUUGAUCUAUAGAAACCAUAAAGAACAUGAUAAAGUUCAACUUUAUACUGUUAUCAUGUCAUGCUUUAUAACUUAAAACUGUCAGUUUAUUUCUUUUAAUUUUCCUGCACGAGAUUUGUUAGGUAGAACAUGAUAUAACUAGGCUCUGAUACCACAUGUUAAUCUUGUAAGUUGUAACACGUUGAAUACUAACUUGAGUCCGACAUGGUGCUGGAGCAGAUCAAUUUGCACAAAGCUAUGGAAGGUUCUUCUCCUUAGAUACUGAUCUUUAUAGCUAUAUGAUGGGUGAAUUUCUAAUUAGCUUAGGUGUAUCGGAUCUAGGAGGGAGCCUUCUAUUUAUAUGCAUCUAUCUAAGUGUCUUGUCCAUCAAGAAACACUUAGAGAUAUCCUUCAUGUGAUAGAAUUAAUAUGUUCCAAUCCUUGUAGAACUAGGAACCCUUAAGCCUUUUAUUAACCAUCUUAAACACUGUUUACAGGCUGCCUAAUCGAGAUGGGUUUUGGGUCUUUGAUAAAUAAUAAGUCUUUGCAAUCCUUUAUUGAUUAGAAGAUCACUUCAGUAGGUUUAAGGCAAUAAACCUUCUUACAGUUUUUCCACCUUGCAGGACAUAUAGUGCCUUAGUUUGGUUGGUUUUUCUUGUUCUACAUGGUAUGUAUUGAUACUGCAUCAUUUUGAAUUCUUACUGUGUAGCUGAUUGAUCUGAUUUUUAAUUAAUUUCAUGAGGUAGGUCCACAUUGGGUUUUGCAUAUUUGCGGCGAUAGCUCCUCCAAUUGUCUUGAAUGGGAAAUCAUUGAUCUAAGUUCUACCCUUUACCUUUUUUUAUUUAUUUUUAUUUUUUCGUUGUUAGUGUUUUCGUGAUUUUGUUUGUGUCUUGAGUAUAAUAUUCUCUAGUCAGUUGGCUGAGCAAUGACAAUUUAGCAUGGAAAUUACUACUAAGUCAUAGUACAUUUUGACAAGCCAUCCGUGAAAGGAAAAUGACUUGCCUUAGCUUUUGCAUUAAACACAUAUUUCAGCGAUUGGAAGUGUAACACUAAUAACUGAAAUGGGGAAGCGCCAUCCUGAAUUGCAAAAAACUGAGCAUCAACAUGUCUACUUGAGUUUCCUUGCUGGAAAAUAUUCAUUUAGCAUGAGCAGUAUGAUAACUAUAUUGUCUGGAAUUUUGGGUACCUUAAAUUUUUUUGUAUGGCUUUUACAUUGACUAAUACCUAUGCAUAGGUACAUUUAGAGGUCGUCAACGGGCUUGGCCCAAAUUUUAUGGGCUUGAAUUGGACGGGGUUGGGCUUCAAAGAGGUAAGAGAAAAUAAUGAGUCAGGUCGGGUUGGUGUUUUUCAGAAAAUUCAAAGCCAAGCUUGCCCCAUGAGCUAGGCCUAAGAAAGCCCACCAGGCCGUACUGGGCCGGGCCCCUCCAAAUAGACCUACUUUGUUUUUCUCUUCUUUUUUGCGGAAUAAAUCUUUGUCCACAUACGAAAAAGGAAAUGUUGGCCAUCAUUUUUGCAAUGGAGAAAUGGCCGCCGUACCUCGUCGGAUCCCACUUCAAAAUCAUCACUGACCACCAGACAUUAUGCCACCUCCAUGAUCAGCGUAUUACCACACCGGCACAACACAAAUGGCUCGCCAAGUUGCUAGGCUACAAUUACACCUUAGAAUACAGAGCAUGGAGUCUAAAUAAAGUUGUUGAUGCUUUGUCUUGUCAAUCCAAAGAUGUUACCCUUCUCGCGAUUUCUACUCUAGUGUUUGAUGGUAUUGUUGACAUUAACAAACAAUUUUGUUUUAGAAUUAUUUCGUAACAUUUGCUUUGGCUCGAAUAAGCGUGAAGAAACUUCAGUUAAGUCAAGGAAAUAUUGAAUCACACCAUUUGCACUUACUUCAACAAAGGAAGCGUGGACCUCUUCAAUAAAAGAUUUAUUUAUUUAUUUUUAUAUAGAUCUGCACUCCCUGGGAUCUAUAAACCUUUUGGAUAUCAUUAACCAAAGAGAUACGUCUUUGUACUAUAGUUAGCUCAGCAUAACCAAUUAUUCGUGAUUGAUUAGAUCAUUGAUGCAAAAAAUAUCCAAACCUCUAUAAAAUUUCUUAAAAGUAAAAGUAUAAGAAGCUCUUGGAAAGAUCGAAUAGACAAGUAAUUCGCCUUAUUAAUAUCUCAAAUCAAUGAUGGGUUCUGCAAUAUUUUGUUCAUUAGUUACUCUAGAUUAUUUCAUUUCCAUGUAAAGAUCAUUUUCUUCACAAGUACGCUCACCUACUUUGCCAAAUAUGGAUACACCCCCAUGGGCUUUGGCAAUGUUGAUCAGUUUGCCCUCUACACUUCUGAUCCCGAUACUAUCACCAUUAUUCAUGCUCUUAGUACCAACAUCACAGCGCCAUCAGGCUUCUCUUUUAAGAAUCAACUCUUCUUGUAUCAGAAUCUCAUUUUUGUACCCCAUACGUCAGAUUGGCAUCUCAACAUUUUCAUCGAAUUUCACUCUUCUCCUGUGGCAAGCCACUCAUGGACUGAUCACUACUCACCUCGUCACUAUCCGUUGCCGUUUUGCUUUCCUUGAAGGCAACUUUAGCCAUUCUAUCCUUAUGGUUCAGUUAUUUACCUUUUCUUACGUGGCAACCAACAGAUUGGCCCUAACAAACCUUUGUAUAAAUUGCUAUAGCAUCAAUGAGAAAAGGCAGGAUAGAACUUUGCCAAUUACUUAUUUAUCUAUUUCAUUUCCUAUGUUUUCAAUACUCUGUACUAAUACCUAUCACAAGGCCUCCUAGCCAACCGAGUACUUGGAGGAGCUACGCAAUCUGGAAGAUCUAUGGAAGGCUGCUUUUCCUGUUGCGUCAGAGUGGGAUAAUUUGGACAAUGUGUAUCGAUUCUAGUGGGAUUCCCACAAAUCUCAAACAAGCAUCCGAAAAAAGGGGUAGGCUGUAUGGGAUUGGGAACGUCAACAAAGUCUAUCUCGUUGGCGGUACGGAGCUCAACACAUCCCUUUCAAUGGAAACAUAUAUUUUACAAAAAAAUUAGCAUUUUUAUUAUAGAUAUCUAUCUUGUCUAUCUACUUACAAGACCAAUAUCAACGUGAUAUUUUAUGUCACCAGUCUUUAUGAGAUAAAGUGAGAUACUCAAUAAUUUCAAUUUUUAUAUAACUAAUGGAGGAAUAGAAGUUCCUCAGUUUUUAUUCAAUCAUGUAAGGGCCAGAAGAUUCCUAGAUUUCAAUCCUUAUAAUAUAAAUAUUUGUGGACUUGAAGUUCCCCAAUUCUUAAAAGGCAAAUGAAGACCUGAAGCUCUUGGAUUUAUUUUUCAUUGGAACCAGAAGUUUCAAUAAUUUAUUUUAUUGCAAUAUUUUAAUUUUUGUUGUAUUUUAUUUUUACUUAGUUCUUUUCUUUAGUGUUAUUUUUGUUUUAUGCAAGGACCCGAAGCCCCUAAAUUAUUUAAUUAAAUAAAGACCCAAAGUCUCUUAGUUCUCAAUCCAUAUAAUAUCUAUACAAGGACUUGGAGUACUGCAAUUCUCAGAAAGUAAAUCAAGACUUGGAGUUCUUUGAUUUUUCUCUAACUUGGAACCAGAAGUUCCAACAAUUUAUUUUAUUUCAUUAUUUUAACUAUUAUUUUAUUUUUAUUGUUAUAUUCAGUUAUUUGUUUUCAUUUCAAUAAUUUAUAUUUAAGGACCUGAAGUUCCUCAUAUGAUACAAAAUUCAGAUAUCUUAUAACCCGAAGUUCUUAUUAUGUAUAAUCCAAACUAUAAGUUUCGGCCAUAUGGGCAUUAAAAUAGGUAAAUUCUAGAACAUGAAGUUCUAAUUGUGUCAACCUCCAAAUUGAUAUUUCAAUAAGUGCAUAUGUAUUAUGAUUUUGGGCUGAAAAAUAUACAUCAUGAUAAGAACCUGAAGUUCCAACAUUAUUUGGAUUCAUGUCUUCUAUUUUUUUUAUUUUAUAAAUUUUAUUGUAGUUUUAUUUUUAUUACCUUGAACAAUUUCAUAUUACUACAAAUUUGGAUAUGCAGUUGAAAACCAUAUAUUCUUUUUAAUUUGAUAUAUGCACCCGAACCUGAAGUUUCAGAUAUAUGUUAAUAUAUAUCCAAAGUUCAUAAUUGUCUAUUGAGAUUAGUAUUAAUAUGAACACGUAGUUCAUAUCUUGUCAAGAACCUGCAGUUUUGGCAUAACAUAAAUAAAAUGUUAAUUGAACCUGAAGUUCAGAAUCAAAUGACCUUUUUUUUUUUUUUCUUUUAUCUUUAUCAUGGUUUCCAUAGUGGAAUCAAAAGAUUGGAACUUUCAAGUUCAUUGGUUCUUAGUUUUUAUUAUUCUUAUAUUUUAUUAGAACUUGUAGUUCUAUAUCACACAAUCUAAUUGGAACUAAAAGUUCUUCAAUUAUCAUAUCUAUGCUAUUGCUAUCAAAUUGAGACUGAAAGACCUUUGAUUCAUAUUUAGUUUUGAACAUAUUCUUAAAAUCAAUACUUUUAUAUAAUCUUUUUGAACUUGAUGUUCAAGAUCAAAUUCAGUCUAUAGCCAUUAGUUUUAUUUAUGACUUGCUAGAACCCGAAGUUCUAUACUUUAAAACUUGAAGUUCAAAACUUUUUAAAAUUUCAGUUUAUAAUAGAAAUUUACGAAUAUCUUCAUAUUAGAACAUGUAAUUUUAUAAAUUAAAUUUAUAUUAAAACCGUUUGAUAUAUUCAAUUUAUCUUUAUAACAUUCUAUUUUAUGUUUCAUAUUUUAUCAUAUUUUAUUUUUAUUUUUAGAACUAGAUGAGAUUAUUAUUGUAAGUUUUUUGUUUUAUUUUAAAAAAUUAAUACUACUUUAUUGUCUUUGUGAAUUAUUUAUUUAUAUCUUAUUUGGACCAGAAGUUUCAUGUUAUGCAAUUAGUUGAAAUUAGAAGUUUCAUUAUACAUAUUUGAAAUACAAAAUUUAAUUUGAGAUUAUAAAAAUAUGAACUAUUUGAAAUGACAUACUUAAUUCAAAACCUGAAGUUUUGAUUACACAUUUUAAUCAAAACCUGGAGUUUCGGAUAUUUAAUUUGUAUUAUGAACCAGAAGUUAUCUCUAAACCAGAAGUUAUGGAUUUUAAAAUUUUAAGUCCACAAAGAAUGUUUUAAGUAUAUUAUAUGAACCAGAAGUUCAAUUAAUUUUUUUUGUUUCUUUUUUUCAUGGAUAUAAAAGUGGAUAUUCUUAUAUAUAUAUAUAUAUAUAUAUAUAUAAGAAAGAAAAUAGAAAUCCAAGUAGGAUUGUAAUGUGGAAGAGUAUAAAGGAAUAAAUUUAUCCUUUCAUAUUCCAGGUGCUCUAGUAGUAGCAAUAUGGAAAAUAUGAUGUGUUUCAAUUGUUGGUAAAUAGAAAGUCUUUAUUAUGCAUCCACGAAUUUCAUAUGAUUGGAUCUAUUAUUUCCUAAAGAAAUAUAAUCAUUACAUAAUUCCCUGAAGAGAAUGUAAGCUCUAUAUCAUUUUCCGAAACAAAUAUCACUUACACAUUAUCCCAGAAGUGAAAUGUGUUUUAAGUUAAAUAGUAUAAAUGGAUGGUCUUGUAUGACAAAGCCUCCGAGAAUUAUGAUAUUUAUUGUUAGUGAAACAACACACACAACUAUUUGAGUUGAUUGAGCUUAAUUACCACUCAAUUUGGUAAAUAUCAUAGUAGGUUAUUGACAAGUCAAAUUAUGUACUUACAAUGUUUGAUAUUACUUAGUUCCAGAAGAAAAUUACAUAGCUUCAUACAUGCACACAAUUGAGUUAAUGUUGAAAUUAUGAAUAAACAUGACUGGUACUUAUGGUCUCGUGCUAGAAGCAUAUUAAUAAUAAUUUGCUACAUAUGAACUCAUUUUUUGAUUAGAACCAAAAGUUCUUUGAUCUGUAAUAAUUUAUGAUGUGAAAAUUUUAUUUUUGAUUCAAUAGUUUUGGAGACUAUGGUAUUUAUGUUACACUAUAUAUUAAGCGAACUUGAAGAUUUUGCUUCACGUUAUCAUCUUUAUAUUAUUUAUAUUUAGUCCCUGAAGGACAACACUUACCACUCCAAUCAAAUAGUGUUAUUUUGAUGAGACCAAUUUUCUGUCGUUAGGGGGAAAAAAGGUUGUUCUUGAAGAACGACGUGAAUUGUUAUGAAAGGUUGUUCCUGAAAAACGACGUGAAUUGCCAUCUAAUGUAAAAGUAAGAUAUGAAAGAAAUCGCAAUCUAGAAGAUUGCAAGUCAAAUGCUAGAAGCAUUUAAAAACACAGCUGAAGUGAUAGAUCACAUGAAAAUGUUGAUGUCUUAAUUAGGCAAUCUAAAGUGGUGGCAAAUGAUUUAUCUAGUUAUGUGCCUAAGUAGUCAACAAUGGGCUUGACUGAAGUUGAGACUAUAUUGAAAGGUCCAUGCAUCCUAAAUAAUAUAAUACUAAAUGAAAUAUCCACAUUUCCUAUAUAUUUAAUAUCGGAAGAGAUACAAUCUUAUAAGAAGACAUAAGUCCAUUAGAAAACAAUGAAAGCCCUUGAAGAGGCACGGGUACCCAAUGACUAUGAAAAUGUCUAUAUCUUAUGCAUGCAUGAAGAGAAAUGUGGGUUUAUAAAUUGAUGAUUAUCAAUGAUACUGUUUAUAUAUAGUACGUACUAAAGUUAUCAAUGACUAUGAUGAUAUUGAUCCGCAUUUUAUUAUGAUUGUUGACAAUAUAAGGAAAGAUUGACCAAACUGGAAGAGGCAGUCCAGUAAAAUUGAAUAUUUUUGAAAAACGUGAAAGAAAUGGACCUAGAGUUCGAACACCAAAAGAUAUGAAAUUGUAUAGGUUACAAAUCGGUGUUUGUGAUGAAGUGAAAUAAAAUCACUUGAUAUGGCAAAAUGUAUCCAUGUAAAGACAUGAAAUUUUUAUGAUAUUCUCCUAGUACAUUAUGUAGAUGUAGCCAUAUUUCUUCUUACGAAGCAUGUUCACUGCAUAUUUAUGGAGACUUGCAUUUAUAUGAAAAUCUAAAAAGAUUAUGAAGUGAAGUAUAUCGCCAGAAGCGAUCUUUUGAAGAAUGCAUAGGAAUUAAUUCUGAGAGAUAUAAAAUGUCAUACAUUAUGUUAAUUAUUGAAAGAAAAUCUCUAAGAAGUUAAGGACGCUGAAGCUCAAUGUCUAUACUCAAUUUUUAUGAAAUGAAAAUGAUCUAAUUGCCUCAAGUGAGUGCAUUGAUUAAGUUAUGAAUUUUAAUUCAAUUUCAAUAUAGUUACAACGUAUUCAAAUUUUUAAAGAAGUUAUCAAAAUAUUUAGGUCUAUUGAAGAGCCUAUGACAUGCUAGCAUAGUAUACAAAAAUUUAUAUGAAUAACUUAUUACAUCAUGCAAUUUUAUACUCUUAUCCUUGUAACGGUAACGUAUGAGUUUGCUUAUAUUAUUAUGAUACUAUAGAAUAUGAUAUUAUUUUAAGAAUUGUUAAUAUAAAAGGAUUUGUGAAAAUAGUCUUGAUAUUUUUGUUAUUACUUUAACCUCAACAGGGAUUCAAAGGGAUAACAAACAUACAUCCUCCAAUGACGAUAUUGAAGAAAUUUUUGUACAAAGCAUUACCAAAGCUUGCUCUGUAGGUGGAAAAUGAGAUUAAAGAGUUUUAUUCAAUUUAGAUUAUGUUUCUGUAGGUAAGGGCUUUACUUGUUGGGCCAUGCUCAAAUAUAAGUGAGAUUUAAAAAAUAAAAAAACCAACCCAUUAGUAAAACGCAUAGUUUCUCUAAAAGGAGGCAGCCACCAAAACGAUGUAUAUUCAAUUAGGUCCUCUUCUUCAUUUGGUUGGUGCCGCCGAAAGUUGUUGGAGCAAAUGCAAUCCAGAAAACAGUGAGAUGCAAACAACACUCUUAUUAGCUCUCUUAUCCUGAAGUGAGGGAGUGCGGCUGGCUAUCUCUGUAGAUGUCACGAAGCCUAAGAAGAUGAGGCUGGUUUGCUGGGUAACGUAGAGAGUUUUUUUUAUUUAUUGGCUUGGCAUCAUAGAUUCGGCCAGCUGGCUGGUAAAAUUUUUGGCUGGGCGGCCCUGUGUGUUGGUCUGUCACUGUAUCCCAAAAUAAAAGAAUGAAAAUUUGCAUAAUCUCGAUAGAAACUUUAAUAUAGUUAGAGGUGGUGGGUUUGCAACACUUUACAAAGUUCAGAUAAUUAAAAAUAAAAAAUAAAAAUUCAGGUGGUAAUAAUACAUAUGCUUACAAGUUCUGAUUGUAUUUAUACAAAUUUCCCAACAACAAAAAUGAAGUUGUUAGGUGGAGAGAUAGGAACAUGUUUCAAAUUUCGAUCACUGUAGAUGAUAAGUACAUUAUCAUCCGAAGUUUGAGUGUGGUUCUAAUUCAAAACUUUCACCUGACAUAUCUUUUUUAAAUCAUGAAUUUGGUUUGUUGAAAGAACUUUAUUCAUUGAGGGAGCAACACAUCUGUGUCAAACAAUACUAACAAAAUAAGCACAAGACACAUAGUACAAUAUUUCAAGUCAUAUUUUGAAAAUAGAGUGUCUUUAACUAGAAAAACUUGUAUGAAACAAGGAUAGCACUGUUUCGCUAUUCCUAGCCAAUCACAUAUUAUCACGUGAAAAAGUUAUCAUGUGUGGCAUGUCGCAAUUGGUCGGGGAUAGCAAAAUAGUGUCAUCCCCGUUUCACACAAAUAUUUCUCAUAUUUAAUAGGGGAAAAUCAGAGUGUCGUGCAUCAUCGAUUUUGGCUGAAUGUGGAUAAUUAUUAUUAGGUGACAUGGAAGCACGUGAGACCAUUGAACCUUCCAUGUGCAUAGCAUACCCUAAUAUCAUAUUAGAAUAUGAGUAACCAACCCAAAACCAAUAGACAAUAGAUAAUGAGGCCUAAAAUCUUUUAAACACUAAUUCAAUGAGAAUUGCAACAAUGUCAAUCAAAUAAUUUAUGUUUUCUAUUAUUUAUUUCACUUUGGAUAUCCUUAUGGACAUAUGGUUUCUGGUUUAGUGGUCUAUUAAAACUUGGGCUAAAGCCCUAAAUCCUAAAGCCUAUGCGCAACUCCGCUGAACAAUACGAACUGUAAACCUAACUCAAAAUACUAAGUUCCAAAAUCAUACAUUUUCCAUAUAAAUUUAUUUCCCACAAAAAUCAAGUCUACGAACAUGUCUGAGUAGAAUUUACAUAAAGCAACAGUUUCCUUCAUCAAAGCAUGAAGCUAUAGUAUUGACAACCGUAGAAGUUGGUAUAUAUGUUCCUAUUCCUUCAAUCAAUAACCAAGUCUACUCUUUAUAUACAAUUUUUUUUAUAGGUUGGUGGAGAUGUCUAACAACGUUUAGAUCUAAACUCAAUAUUGCUUGCAUCCUUAAAUACUUUAUAUGAACAAAGCAAGAAAAAGAGAGAAGAGAAUCUGUUCAUUCAAUUUUGGUGAAGUAAAAACCAUAGGUGACAGAAAUUAAUGGGAAUGAUGGGCAAAAUAGCAAGCUCCAUAACCAUCACAACAGGCAGCUGGAAAAAUAUUUAGGGCUGGAAUUUUAGACUGAUUAACUGAUAAACCAACCAAAUUGGACUGAUCUUUCACUUAAAUUUUUUAUUUUGGUGAAUAAACUGACUUGAACCGCUAUGACUCGAUCCGGUUGCCAAUUCACCAUCUCCCAAACUCCCGGUUUGCUGAACCAAACCGACCUACCACUUAGCGUGACAAAUAUUGUAAACAUUAAGCGCCCAAGGAGACUCCAGCACAUGACCUGCUAGCUGGAAUGAAGGGUGUUACGACUGUACUAAUUACUCUUUUGUGAAAUACAAGCAUAAUCAUGAUAUUUAAAAGACUCCUAGAAAAAUUAUAAAAAAUAUUAUUAAAAUGUUAGGGUUUUAACCCUAACACUCCCUUAUAUCUCCAGUCGCCUCCUCUUAUUCUUCCUUUCUAUUUUUCUCCUAGGGUUUCUUCUUCUCAUCUUCUCUUCCUAACGCCGCAGCCCCACAUUUCCUUUUUUUUUUUCCUCCGAACGAUCACUUCUUCUCCUCCUCUUCUAUUCCUCGACGACAUCGCUGCACAUCUGCCUUUUAUUCUCCGAGUAGUUUAUUCUUCUUCUUCUCCUCUUAUCUCUCUCUCUCUCUCUCUCUCUCUAUGUCUGCCCCAGAGAUUUUCGGUGUUUUCACAAAACCUGUUUCAUCCAAAAAUAAUUGAUGAUUUCAUAAAUAAAAAACCUUAUGCAAUGACAAAAUUAAUCUCAAAAAAUGUAUGCGCAGGCUAAUCUCAAAGGCUAACUUUGCCAUUUGGAUAAAUAAAACAUUUAUAUAAAAUAUCAAUCUUUGGACCAAAAAAUAUUCAUUUUUCAGCUGACAAUAUACUUACUGAUGACAAAAUAGCUUGCACUGGUUGGUGGAGAUAUCUAACAACGUUUAGAUCUAAACUCACUAUUGCUUCACUAGUACGAUUUACUAUUUGCGCGACGAAAGUUUGCGCGACGAAGACGUUUUCGUCGCGCAAACAACACUAUUGCGACGAAAAGGACAGAAAACUAGCGGGACAAAACUAAUCGUCGCGCAAAAAGUGUAUGCGCGACCUAUAUUUAUUUCGUCGCGCAAAGGAAAUAGAAAAAAACCCGGUUUUUGUUUUGGCGCCAAAACCUUGCGCGACGACAAAAAUCGUCGCGCAUGCCAAUAUUGCGCGACGAAUAAAAGAUUCGUCGCGUAAAGAUGGACAGAAAAAGUGGCCCCUUUUUGUUCGCGGGUAAAAAAUUUGCGCGACGGAAGUUUUCGUCUCAAAAGACAACUUAGCGCGACGAACAAUUGUACCGUCGCGUAAGAAAACGAGGGAUACUUUUUUUUGCCGCCAAAAUGAAGGGCGGGUAAAACUUUUUUUGCGCGACGGAUUUUCGUCGUCGCAAAAAGUUGAAUGCCGGUGAGUUCUUGCGCGACGAAAUUAAAAAUUUGCGCGACGAAAUCAGAAUUUUGCGCGACGAAAUGUAAACCAUGUGCGACGAAAAAUAUAAUUUGCGCGACGAAUGUUUGUGCGACGAACAGUAUUGUUCGUCGCGCAAAAAAGCAGAUGUCGGCACGUAUUUGCGCGACGGAAAUGUUGUUUUGUGCGACGGAAAAGUGUCCUUUUGCGACGGCUGUUUGCGCGACGAAUUUUACUAUUCGUCGCGCAAAGUCCUUCUUCUUCAUAUUAGUAUUUGCCAUUGCAGAGGCAGAAUGCAGAAAUUGCAUUCUGCCUCUCUCUCCUCUCUCUCACUCCUCCUGCCGCUGCUCUGCUGUGAAUUCAGUACGUUAAUUGGAUAUGUAUUUUUUGUCAUUAGUUUAAAUGUAUUAAUGUAAAUUCGUACUAACGCUAUUAAUUUUGUUCUCGUUAGGCAUAUCUGUGAUUAGUGGAGAACGAUUGAGAAGGUAUGUCAUUGUAAAAGUUUGUUUGUUAAGUUUGUAAUUUUUUUGUCAAGUUUUAUGUGUAUAAUGUUGUGAAAUUGUGCGUGACGUAGCACAAUGUAUUUGUGAUGUACGAAGUUAAUUGAAAUUAACUUCGUACUUUUAUUUUUAUGUUUAGUAACACGUAGUUUCCCGUUCGAGAUUAGUUGGAUUUCGUGCAUGGAUGCGUAAGGCAUGACUGCGGUCCAAUUAAUUCUUGAAUUGUCCCAUUAUUUGGACAGUUUGGUAAUGCAUAGUGUUGUCACAUAAUCUUCGGCUACAGGAUUAGGUUUCGAUUGUGGAGAUUUCGGUGUCAUCUCGGUACGUUCUUCGGGUGGUACGUAGGUAUUUAUACCUAUGCCCACUUCAAGAACUGUGUCGAGAUGCUGCCGAAAUUAAUCCACGUCGAAAUCUAAUCUCAUGUAGCCGUAGGUUACGUGACAGGACUAUGCAUUCCCGAAUGGGAUAGGGCCCUUACCGGAGGCAUAAGGUGACAUUAUAACUUCGUAUGAAGUUGUUGUGAUUGUUGUGUCGUGAUUGUGGUUUCAGGAAUUAUGAGCAGAAGGUGGAUACAGAACCCGAAUAGAUGCGCAGACGAAUACUUGGAUGGAAUCGAGGAUUUUAUUGAGUUUGCACGUAGACACAAUCCGGGUGCAACUAGAAUCCGUUGCCCUUGUAGGAGGUGUAACAACACGUUGUGGGAGACAAUUGAAAAUGUUGGAUUUCAUUUAGUAAGGAAUGGAAUGAUUGAAACAUAUAGCAUUUGGAAUCUUCACGGCGAACAAGUAGACCAUGCUUCGUCUUCAAAUGCCCCAAGAGUGGACAAUGUUGAACCUAUUGUGGAUCCUAAUGAUCAAGUCAUGGGUAUUAUACAGGAUGCUUUUCCAUUCGCAUCGACCAACAUCAAUCAGGAAGGGGAAGAUGACGUGCCUACACCAAUAGACAGUGCGGAGUUUGAACAGUAUGAAAAACUGUUAAAAAAUGCCAACCAAGAGUUAUACCCGGGGUGCGAGAGCUUUUCCGUUCUCACUGCCAUUGUGGAGCUAAUGCACGGAAAAAUAAAGUAUCGUAUGUCGAACUUGUGUUUCGAUUACUUUUUGGGGGUUUUCAAGAGAAUGCUUCCGACGGACAAUUGUUUGCCGAAAGAUCAUAAACAUGCACAGAAGGUGUUGCACGGUCUUGGAUUGGGUUAUGAAAAAAUCCACGCUUGCAAAAACAAUUGCAUGUUAUUCUACAAAGAGCAUGAAACGUUGGAUACAUGCCCUAUAUGUAAUGAGUCGAGGUUCAAAAUGACAUCCCAGAAUAGAACGACUAAGAUACCACAAAAAGUCAUGCGUUAUCUGCCCCUUAAACCUAGGUUGCAGCGAUUGUAUAUGUCGACGCAUACUGCCACAGACAUGAGAUGGCAUAAGGAAAAACGGGUAGACGAUGAUGUGAUGCGGCAUCCUGCAGAUGGGGAGGCAUGGAAAGAGUUCGAUCGAACGUUCCCCGAGUUUGCUGCUGAUCCCCGAAAUGUUAGAUUGGGACUUGCCACUGACGGAUUCAAUCCGUAUGGGGUUCUAAACCAACACCACAGCACUUGGCCGAUUUUCGCAUUCCCAUAUAAUUUGCCGCCUUGGAAAUGCAUGAAAAAAGAAUACAUGAUGAUGACUGUUUUGAUAACUGAGGAUCCUGGCAGGUCAAUUGAUGUGUACUUAAGGCCUCUGGUUGAUGAGCUGAAGGAUUUAUGGACAAACGGUGUUUGCACAUACGAUAAAUCAACUGGGAGGAUGUUCACUUUGCGAGCAGCAGUUAUGUGGACUGUGAAUGAUUUUCCAGCAUAUGCAAUGGUUUCUGGGUGGAGCACAAAGGGUUAUAUGGCAUGUCCUGUAUGCAAGGAAGAUGUAACUUCUGGUUGGCACGCGGGAAAAGUUUGUUACCUUGGUCAUCGGAGAUGGUUGCCAUGGGACCACGAGUGGCGAGAAAAAGAUAAAGAGUUCGACGGGAACACAGAGCGUCGCCUCAGACCUAGAGAAUGGUCCGGUGAUGAGAUCUUGGAACAGCUGAACCGUUUGGAUUUUGCUCCGUUCGGGAAAACAGUUAGUCGGACCAGACCUUCUACACAUUUGAACUGGACGCACAAGUCUAUGUUUUUUGAGCUCCCAUAUUGGUCGAAACUGAAAUUGAGGCACAAUCUAGAUGUGAUGCAUGUUGAGAAAAAUGUAUUCGACACAUUGGUGGGCACGAUUCUAGAUAUCGAGGGAAAGACGAAGGACACGAUCAAAGCUCGUCUUGAUUUGGAAAGAAUGGGCAUACGAAGGGGUUUAUGGAUGAAUAGGGACAGUGAUAAAGCUAGAAGGGAUCUUGCAUUCUUCUCUAUGAAACCGAAUGACAAAAAAGAGUUUCUAAAGUUUGUAUCGUCUGUCAAAUUUCCCGAUGGGUAUGCUUCUAAUAUCGCACGUUGCGUGAAUGUCGAUGGGGGUAAAUUUACUGGACUUAAGAGCCAUGACUGCCAUGUGUUUAUGCAACGCCUACUUCUUGUGGGUAUUCGACACCUACUGCCGGAAGAUGUGGUGAAGCCAAUCAUCUUGUUAUCCAGAUUUUUUUCCCAACUGACGGCAAAAACAUUGCGAAGGACGGACAUGUUUCAGUUGCGCCAUGACAUUGUCCAAGUCCUAUGCAAGUUUGAGAUGAUAUUUCCUCCAGCUUUCUUCACAAGUAUGAUGCAUGUGAUGGUUCACUUGCCAGAAGAGGCAUUGCUUGCUGGUCCUGUCAACUAUCGCUGGAUGUAUCCAAUAGAAAGGUAUAUAAUCAUUUUCCUUUGUGUAUGCAUCAUUAUCACAGGCUUGCUAAUUUGUAUCAUAUCUUUUUAUUUUGACAGGCUUCUCGGAGAGUUGAAAAAAAGUGUACGCAACAGGGCGAAGCCCGAAGGAUCAAUUAUAGAGGCUUGGGUUCAAUAUGAGUCGCUUACUUUCUGUGGAAUGUAUUUAAAAGAUGUGGAGACGGCUUUCAAUCGUCCUCAGCGUAAUAACGACGGAGGUAUGAGAAAGGAAAAACUUUCUGUUUUUGCCCAAAGCGCACGGCCCUUUGGAGAUCCUGGACGAGGGGAGUCAUUUUCUAGAAAUGACAUGGAAGUAGCGCAUUGGUUCGUACUGAACAAUUGUGAUGAGAUAAUGGCAUACUUAGAUGAGCAUGAAGAGAUGAUGAAGCGAGAAUAUCCAUCACAUUUAGUUGCCCAGAAACAACGUGAAUUAUUUCCACAAUGGUUUUUGGAAUCUGUAAGUUAUAAGUGUUUUGUAUUUGACAAAUAUAAAUUGUUGUAUUUAAUUUUAUCAGACUAACAUGUGAAUGAUUUUCUAUUAUAUUAGGUGAAUAAGUUGAAAUCAUCGAAUUCCCCCACUUACAGUGAUGAGUUAUAUAACUUGGCCUUCGGCCCGAUUCGCGCUGAAUUGUUUUCGGGUUGUUAUAUUAACGGCGUUAAAUUUUUGGGGGCUGCACGAGAUGACAAGUUGUGUACGCAAAACAGCGGUGUCCAUGUCCCAGGUGGAGGCGAAAGUACGAACAUUGAUUUCUAUGGCAAACUCACAAAUGUCGUUCAAUUGCUUUACAAAGAUCGAUACCAAGUGAUCAUGUUUAAGUGUCGAUGGUUUGAUAGCAACCCAAAUAGGACGGGAAGUGUUAAAAUCGACCAUGGCUUACUAUCUGUGAACAUUAACAGAACUUGGUAUGAUGACGACCCUUACAUUUUGGCGAACAUGGCAACACAAAUUGUGUAUCUAGAUGACCCUAAAGCCGGCAGCAGUUGGAAAGUUGUUCAGAAGAUGGAUCAUAGGAACGUGUAUGCUAUACCAGAACUAGACCUAACUGACAACGACGUCGACAAUGUGGCUGACCAACGUUUAGAAUCAUCAAUGGAAAAUGAUGCGGAAACACUUCGAGAUACACAUGUUAUACAAGAACCGUUUCAAAUCCAAGGAGUGUCUUCAAUCGAAAUACCGAUUCAGUCAAUUACAAUUGACCUCGGGGAUCUUCCAAGAUUCGAUGUUGCAGUGGGCAUGAGCAGCGAAGAUGAUGUAAUUAUAGUAGACGAGGAGGAGGAGGAUUGGGAGACCGAAAGUGAUGAUAGCGACGAUAACGAAAGUUAUUAUAGUUCAGAUGAUGAAUAAUUAAAUUUGAUGUAAUUUUAUUACGUUACUGUACAGAUUUGGUGUAAUACAAAUGUUUGAAUAUAUAUAGUACAAAUAUCCAAACCUUAUAGAUGUGGAAAACUGACACUUUAUUCAAAUAAUUUUAGUUAUAAAACAUUGGUAAAUCAAUAUAUCCAAACCCUUUUAAUAAUCAUUUUUAAUUUUUAUUUUUGACAAAACAAAUUUUUAAAAUGAAAAUGAUACAAAAUUUGUUAUAAAACAUUGAUCAAUAAACAUUUUUAUAUAGAGUUUGAAAACUAUUGACAAUAAACAUUUUGCAAAACAGAAAACCCUUGCGCGACGAAGAAGACCUCGUCGUGCUAUUUUUGCGCGACGAAGAAACCCUCGUCGUGCAAAGUUUGCGCGUCCCAAAAUACACUAGUCGCGUGAAGUGAAAACAUUGCGCGACAAAGUGUCUCCCGUCACGCGCAAAAGUUUGCGCGACGAUAAAACUAUGUUCGUCGCGCAAAUAUAUAUCAUUUUAUAAUAUAUUUUACAUAUACACAUAUAUAUUUGAAAUUGACGAUCGAGUUGGAGUAUUGUAUUCAUAUAGGGUCAUGGAGUGUAGGUGUAAAAAUUCAUCAAAAUCAGAGUUAAAAUAACUGUUAAAUCAUCAGUUUUCAUUUAUAACCGUUCACAAGUUUUGUCCCGUUACUUGAUCUCUGAAUGUUUUAUUUUUUCGAUUUUUGGGGUGUAAGAUCUCGAAGUACAAAUAAACCAGUUUGACGGCUGGAUUGCUGAAACUACUUUUGUAGAAUGCGUUUGCCAUAUCAACCAUAUAUUCACAAACAAUAAAUAGUUUACAUAUACGUUCGUUAAAUAUAACAUCACCUUAUGUCAUAUCACCCUAGUGUAAACAUCUGAAAUUGAAGAUCAAAUUCACUAAUUGUAUUCAAAUAGGGUAAAGAAAAGUAGCUGCAAAAAAUUAUACAAAUCAGAGCUAAAAUAACCGUUAAAUCAUGACUUUUCAUUUACAACCGUCGAUAAGUUUCGUCAUGUUACUCGAUCUCUUAAAGUUUGUUUUUGUCGAUUUUUGGCAUAUACGAUCUCGAAGUGUAAAAAAACAAGUUUGCCGGUUGGAUCAUGAAAACUAGUUUCGGGUUGAGGGUUUCUGCGGUUUAGGGUUUAGGGCUUAGGGUAAAGGGUUUGCGCGACGAAACGACGUAUUUGGUCGCGCAAGACCUGCAAACGACUGAAUUGCGCGACGAAUACAAGUCAGUUCGUCGCGCCAUACCAGCCAUAACCUUCACAUUUUACUCUGUCCCCCCUUGGACACUUAGUGGAAAUUUUUUUAGGGUUCUUGCGCGACGCAUUAGAUUCCCUUCGUCGCGCCAUAUCAGCCAAUAUUUCACAUUUCACAUUUGCCUGUCUUCCUCCCUGGACACUUAGCGGAAAUUUUCUUGCGAGGUAUUGCGCGACGAACUGACUUGUAGUACGUCGCGCAAUCUCAGCCAGCCCUGUCUCAUUGGACUUUGACAUUUUUGAGAGUUUGCGCGACGCUAGUCGUACGUCGUGCAAUCUCAGCCAGCGCUGCGAGGUUUUGCGCGACGCUCUCGUAUGCGUCGCGCAAACCCUAGUACCAAAUUCUGGCUACUCGUAAUAUUGCGCGAUGAACAAUUUGUGUACGUCGCGCAAGAAUUACAUCUCGCCCGCUAAACCCCAAAUCCCAAAUUUUGGCGGACGCCAUCAUUGCGCGACGAAACUUAUGUUUAUGCGUCGCGCAAGAAUAAAAAUUCGCCCGCUAAACCCUUAAUCCCAAAUUUUGGCGGACUGCCAACAUUGCGCGACGAACACUCACUUUUAUUCGUCGCGCAAAAACGACACUUUUGCCAAAUUUUGGUGGAAGUAUGACUUUGCGCGACGAACUUAAAUUUUAUUCGUCGCGCAAUAGCCAUUUAAAAAUUCUUGCGCGACGCUACUUUUGAUUCGUCGCGUAAAAACGAAUAAAAUUUCAGAAACCACGCGAUGGCCUCCUUCUUCCCCAGACUUCUGAAAUUCCUCCCCGCCGUUUCUCUCCCCGCCGUCAGCUCAGCCUCCUACCCCGGUGGAUUUGGACCGCGCCCGCGACGUUGGUGGUACCCCGGAGCUCCCCCGCCGUCGCCGUCAAGCCAGCCGCUGCGAUUUCUUCGGUUUUCACCGAAUCGGCUCCGCCGUGUUCUCCCUCCUCCGGCGACCAAUUCCGACACCUGAGGUAUGGUUUCUAUCCUAUUUUUAAUGCUUUAGCUGAUGGUUGGGUAGGAUUUCUGAAUUUGUUGCACUAGGGCACUUAAUUUGAAACCCUAAGUUUCGGCCGGAUUUUGAUUUUCAAUUCCGGCCACUUCCGGCCAUUUUUCGGGGUAUGUCCGAGAACAAAAGUGGCUCCAAUUGAUGUUUUGAACCUAGGAUAGGAACCUUGCCCCUUAGUUUUAAGUAUUUUCCGGCGAUUGGUAUCGCUUUGGACACCCGCGCGCUGCCGGCGCGUGGGGCGGCGCGUGGGUUCCUGUAGCAACCCGAUUUCGGUCCUAAUGCAUUCCUGUAGUUGUCACGAGCGCAUAGGUGUUUUCGGAUUAGAAUUUGGUUACCGUUUGAGCCUCGAAUGGAUUUUGCCUAUUGUGCGAUUUCCGGGGUUGUUAUGUUCGGACCGUUGGAUCGAACUCAAACUCACGUAUGUUGUAGCUUGUAUUUCUUGGAUCGUCUACGAUUCGACGGAUCGUGGAUCGGAGUCCCGGAUACUCCGAACUCGCAAACCCUAGGUCAAUAAUGUGAAUGAAAUUGUAUGUGUUUUCAAAUAUUCGUAUAUUUUAUUAAUUUGUAUGUGUAUUAAUGAAAAUGUGCAGAUGUCAGACCUGAUUACACGUCGUAGGGCGGUGACGACCCCGCAGAGUACGGCGCCCCCGACUCAGCCGACAUCUGCUGCCACUGCUCCAGCAUCUCCUGCCACUGCGCCGGCAUAGAUGGACCACUUGGCAGUUGCACCUGCGAGGUCCCAGGGGCCUGCCUCAUCCGCGUCAUCAGUGGCGCAGCCUGUUAGUGCCAGGCGGCGUCAUCGGCCCGGCAGCACCACCGAGACCACAUCCACUGAUGCGUCGGGGUCACAGCCAGGUAUAGCUUUCCUUUUUCUCCAGUUAAUUUUAUUUUUUAUUUCUUGUUUUUUGUGUGUGUGUGUGUGUGUGUGUGUGUGUAUUUGAUUGUUAACUUUGUUAUUUAUUUAACAUUCAUGUCAUCUUUCUUUGCAGCCAAGAGGAACACCCGAGGGCCGUGUCGGCAGUUGAAGACGGCGAAGGUCACCCGGGUGACCAACAGUCGUAUCAACAUCGGAUACGACGAGCGACAUCGGGCUGCACCGACGGCAGAGUUGCAUAGCUCCUUGGCCCACGACAUUGGCCACGUCGUGCGGACCCAUUGCCCGAUGCAAUGGAAGUCUUGGAGGGUCAUGCCUGACGAGAUCCAGGCGGAGGUUCGCGGCCAGUUGUCGGUAUGUACCUUACAUUUUCAUUAUUUUUCUUUAAAAUUGUGUAUAUUUCUAUUACUUAACGUAUCUAAUUAAUUGAUUGCAGACGAACUAUAACUUGGAGGAUCUCGACGAAGAGUCGUUGACGUACGUCAACAGACUCUUCGCUGAGAGGUACAAGCAGUGGAAGGGCGACUUGCACCACCAUUUUCAGGCCUAUGAUGAUCCGCAAGUCGCUCUUCAGGAGGGUUGCCCGAAGGAGCUUGAGGGGCGGGAGGAUAGUUGGGAGUGGCUCUGCGCUCAUUUUCAAGCGCCCGAAUUUGCUGUAUUUUUUUAAUUAUAUUUGUUUAAUUAUUACUUAUUACUUAUUAAUGUUUAUUUUAUUUUUUUAUUUCAUUAUUAUUUAAUUUUUUAUAUUUUAACUAAUACGUUUCAUUUUUUGUAUAACAGAAUAAAGCCCAAGUGAAUAAGGGUAAUAGGAAGAAGAAGACCCUUCUCCACCAUUCCGGCUCCAGACCCUUUUCGUAUAGGAUGGAUGCACGGCGUCGGGUAAUAAUCACAAAAUUUUUAUUUCAUUUUUAAUGUCAUUUUUAUUAAUUUAUUUUUUUCAUACUAAUAUUUUUCUUCUCUUGUUCAAUUUAGGAGGGGUCCAAGUUCCCAGAGAUCGACGUCUUUGGUGACGUUUAUGUUCGACCCGGGAAUGAGUUGGCCGAGUCCCUUCAUGUAAGUAUUAUUUAAUUUUAAUUCUUAUGUUACGCAUUCAAUUUAUAUGCAUGUUUUAAUUUAUAUUUUAUGUUAUGUUCAACAGACGACGAUGGUGGAGAGGAGCCAGCUUGUUCUUCAGGAGUCCACCUCCCAGCUUCCUCCCGAGACUCCGAUCGAGUCUGUGGCUCCUCCACAGGAUGCUGGAUUUCAGAUCUUGACGGAGACGUUGGAUCAGACUCUCGGGAGGAGGCCGGGGACAUAUUGUCGAGGGAUGGGGAAUGCCCGGCGGAGGGAACAUCGACCUCGUUCGUCGGCGCAGUCAAACAGUCAGGUCACUGCUUUGACAGCACAGGUGGCCACUCUUCAGAGCCAGAUGUCGGUCAUUCUGCAGUCCCUCGCACAGUCCGGCAUUCCAGUCCCGCAUUUUGAUGCGCCGACCUCUGAGCCCGUCCAUCCCGGGCAUCCCCACCAGACCACUGCCCCGGUGAACGCCCCGCCCUCCGAGCCGCAUACUGGCGACGACUCGGUUGAUUUUGAUUCAUUAUUUGAUUAGUGUAUUUAUUUUAUUUGUAAUACAUUUAUUUUAUUUUAUUUUAUAACAAAAUUUUAUUCUAAUUUAUUUUUAUUGCAAUUUCAUUGUUUAAUCAAUAAAAAGAAACCAAUUUUAUUUAAAAUAAAAAAAAAAAAAUUGUAAUAUUAUUUUUGCGCGACGGAAAAUAUUUCGUCGCGCAAACCAACACGUAACAAAAAAAAAUCAAAUUUUUUUUAUCUUUUUUAAUUCAUGUGCGACGAAGUCAUACGUCUCGCAAAUAUGUUUUGCGCGACGAAAUAUUUCGUCGCGCAAAAUAUUUGUGCGACGAAAACAUGCUCAUCGCGCGAAUUGUUCUGCGACGAAAAUAUACGUCUCGCGAACACAUUAUGCGCGACGAAUAAUAUUUCGUCGCGCAAUUCCCGUCGUCGCGCAAAUGUACGUGCGCCGCAUACUUGAUCGUCGCGCAAAUACUUUUGCAACGAAUAGUUGUAUUCGCGCGAAUUGUUCUGCGACGAACAUAUACGUCUCGCGAACACGUUGUGCGCGACGAACAAUGUUUCGUCGCGCAAUUCCCGUCGUCGCGCUAAUGUACGUGCGCCGCAUACUUGAUCGUCGCGCAAAUACUUUUGCGACGAAUAGUUAUAUCGUCUCCACACCGUUGGUGCAACGAUGGUUUACCCGUCGCACACUUUUGCGCGACAAAGGGUUUUACCUCGUCGCGCAAAGGCUUUCUUCACGAUCUUCGCGCGACGGAAUAUGCGCGACGACUUUUUUGUCGCGCUGAAAUUGGGGCGACUAAAUCAUACUUUGAGCGACGUUUUUGUCUUCGUCGCGCAAAGUGUAAAAUGUAGUAGUGCUUGCACUGGAUGUAGCUAUGGUUUCGAAAGCUCAGUGUCACGUACAUGUGUUUAUCAAGAUAAAAGUGCAGGCUGUACCACAAUCACACAAUCAGACAACACAAGUGAUGUCAAUUGCAAUAUUUCGUGUUUGAUAUUACUUGAUCGCAUAAUGUAAUGUGUGUACCAAAUAUGAUACCGUUGUGGAUGCUCUUGUGUCCAUAGAGACUGUUAUUUUCGUCCUUUCAUGCUGAUUUUAAGUCAGAUCGAUGCAUGACACUUUGAUUUUCCACUCUUAAUUUUGAAUAAUGUGUUCACAUAUAGACUCUGUUUUCUAAACUUAACUUGAAUAUUGUACUUUGGAUCUUGUGGUUGUUUGCUAGUAUUGUUCGACGCAGAUGUGUUGCUCCCUUACUUAAUAAAGUUCUUCCAUGAAACCACACUCAUGAUUUAAAGAAGAUAUGUCGGCUUAAAGUUCUGAAUUAGAAUCGCAAUCAAACUUUGGAUAAGUAUUUUUGAAACACAUUAUCUCUCUACCUAACAACCGAAAUAUAUAUAUAUAUUGGAAAUGUUGCAUAAAUAUCACAUGAACAUUUGUAUGCAUCAUUAUCAUAUAAACUUUGUAAAGUAUUGCAACGCACAAUCUAUGUCUAACUCUGUUAAAGUUUCUAUAAAGUUAUGCAAAUUUCCCCACCGGCUGAUACUUCUCUUAAGGUUUUUUUGUUGGGACGAAUAUUACUUCAAUAAUAAAUAGUGAUAUCCAUAAUAGAGUAACUGAUAAACAACAUGAUGAUAAAAGCCAAAAGCCAUAAUAAUAGUCACAUAAUUAAAAACCCAACGGAAAUAAGAGAUUACUUAUAAUAAAGAAGAGGGUGCAUGUAAUUAAUAUUUUGAUGAAGCCAACUAAUUUUUGGUGUGAGUGGUAGAGAUAAUGAGAGGCUGAAAGCCAUGUUGGAGAGUUGCUUGCCAAACUUUGUCAAUAUUGGACAUGUUGUACCCACACUCAUGCUCCUUCCAGCCUUCCAAGGCAUGCACUAUGCCUGCUAUGCGCCAUGCACUCAUCACCCUUCUUGGCAACCAAUUCUGUUAAUAACAUAAUUAACAAUGCAAAUUAAUAACAUAAAAAUAUAUAUUAGUCAUAAUUUACUAAUUAAUAACAAGAAAAAAUAAAACAAUUGCUUAAUUACCUCACAAGCAUGAACAUUCUCAAGAGAUGGGGGUGUCUUCAUUGCUGGAGUGUAGUGGUAGAAGCAGUCUUUACGCAAUUUUUUUGGUGGGAAUUGGGAGAAAGGAACAAAUAAUGUUCCUUUUGGUGCUCUCAAUUGUUCUUCUUCACUCAAUCCAUCUCCCACUAACCAAAUCUGCAAGUAGAUAAACUAUUUUAAAAUCAUAAUCAAGUAUCCAAAAUAGGAGCACAAAAUUAAUGUAUUGAAACAUUAAGAGCGAAGAAGCCAAAAUUCGUAGCAUGCAUAUUACCUUAUGUGCAUAACUUUUUGCAAGAACCAAGCUACUUUCCAUGCCACUUAAUGAUUUGGUGAGCUUCAAAUACUCAUCGUGGUGUAAUGUAGUUAUCUUCAAAGACAAGUGAUUAAAGGCAAGAGAGUCAGCAUGAUGAUGACAUGGUACAACAGUCCUACACAAAUUUUUUCUAUUCUUACAUAUAUAUUUACCUGGAUACCCUUCUGGCACAAAGCAAAAGCAACGGCAUGAGCAACCUUUGUGAGGUUGCCUCUAAGAAGAACUUGGGUGGUUCCUUUUGGAAUGGUGUUUAGGGUUAUGGCCACAGCUAAGCUACUUCCAUCCACAAUCCUGAUUUUGAGAUGAGGAUGCCUGUGAACGUACACACCACCAUAUCUAUUCAGCUCCUCACCCUGCAUAAACAGACGUACUUUAGCAUGUAUUCUAAAUCGAUGGAUUUCUAAUAUAAUAUUAUUCAUACUAUAUCUUUAAUUUUAAUCAUCAUAAUUAAAAAUGGUGCAGGUUUUUUUUUCUGGUCAAUCUGUUCAGGCAAUUUACUUCAUUACCAACUAUAUAUAUACUGAUUGGCAUUAUGGGUGAGAGAAACCAAGAUCGGCUAGAGCAGUAGAGGUAGCUAGCUGGAGUCCCUUGUAGGGUAAACCAUAAAUAAAUUUACAGUACCCACUACAUACAUUCAUGCAUGCAUACAUACAUACAUACAUCCAUGCAUGCAUACAUACAUACAUACAUACAAAUACCAUGGACCAUUAAUAACUUGGUUAACUUAGAAGUGAAUUUAUUGAGCUCAAAUAAUUUACCUUGAAAUUAAAAGGGAAUAGAAACAACAGACUUGCCUGAUUUAAGAGACCCAGACAUAAAACUUUGACACCCUUUUCCUCUGCUUGAAUUAUGGCUUCCUCAAUCAAACUGUUGAUGGCUUCAUUUUGCCAUUGCAAGUAGUACUGCAUUAAAUUAUAAAUUAAAUAAAAGUGCAACCAGUAUCAGUAAUAAUUAUUUUUCUUUACCGAAUAUGGUUUAUUAAAGUGCAAGGUUGAAAUCUCUGAAUUUUUUUAAUACAAACGAUAGUCUAGAGAAGAAAUUGGUCUCACUUGCAAAUUGUACUUUGGUAUAGCCCAAGUUUGUAAUAUGAGAUUAUCAAAACGUUGCCUCUCAACCACAAAUGUACGGCCAUAGAUCCAAGUUAGAAUCAUAGACCACAAUGUCACAGGCCACAUCAGCCAUAGGUACCAUUUUGAUGUGUGGGGCUGGGAGGCCAAGGAAGCAAAUCCUAGCGGUAGAUGAUAGAUGGACUCAGGUGUUGUCAGAUGGGUUAGAUGAAGGACAUCUGGCGUUUCUUCCUCUCUCUUGAGUGAAGUUUUAUAGAGAGUAUCCGAAGAUUUGUCUAUGGUUUCAUAUAUGUAAUCGUAAAUUGGCAUAAAAAGUGAGUAAUUGGUUCUGAAUUGUGUGUGAUGCAAGGAGUGGUACCUGCACACAAUUAAGUUACUACAUCAAUUAUAAACAAAUUCAAAAAUAAUUUUGUUGAAUUAAUAUGUCAUUUUCCAACCCCUAAUAUAUUACAAAGCAUAUGCUAUGACUAUACAAUGUUUGCAAUUAACUUAGUUCACCUUGGACCCACUUAGCUCCCCAAUUGAACAUUUAUUUCGUCUUUCCACCUAACAGUUUAAGGUUUUGGGUUGAUACUUCAAUUUUAUAUCACAACCACCAAACCUAGCUCACCUUGACCCACCUAAGAAGCUCACUUUGAAAUAGACAACCUUAACCCUUCUCCCCUAAUAGGUUAAGGAUUUAAGUUUUUUGUUUGUUUGUUUGAAGGUUUUGAAUUAGAUAUACUUAGGAGUACAGUAAUUUCCGUAUUUCAGUAUUAUACAAUAAUUGAGAGAGAGAGAGAGAGAGAGAGAGAGAGCUUGAGACUUACGAGGGUGUAUACAUAAAAUACUUAAGAGGAGGAAAUAGAGAAAAGAGCCAGUUUGGAAUGAGCUCGAAAUUGCAGUGCCCCAUGUUGUUCAUGAAGUCAAUGUAAGUAAUAUAAGCAGUAAAAGAUACCACAGACAGUGUUCUCGUCAACAUAGUUCCCAAAAUUGGUAUAAAGAAGAGCGCAGAAUAUACUACAUGCUCCGCAAAUGGAUGAAUCACAGCUGCAACAAAUUAAACAUAUAUUAAAUAUUAAGUAAUAUUUAAUACAAAUAAAUCAAUGUAAUUAAACAUUUAAAUAGUUUUUUUGUUCUUACAAGUAAUUGGCUGAGUAACUAUUGAGGAAUGGUGAUGAGAAUGGUAGCGAGAGUAAAGGUAAUGAUGGUGAAGUGCUCUGUGAAACCAAUAAUACAGGAACUCCACAGGACCAGCAUGAAGCACAAUGGUUAAAAGAACUCCAUGUGCCCUCCAAAGUGGCAGCUUUUGAGCCCCAGGCAGGUACCUGCUGCCUGUGUAGAAUAGGAGUGCAUUGAACAAUAUCUGGUCAUCCCUGCACUCCAAACCCAAACAAAUUAAGUAAAUAAGUAUUUGUUUAGCCACCUGUGUUUUUCUUUUAUACAAGCAAUAUUAGGGAUAGGGGGAAUCGAACAUAAGAACUCGAAUGCAUGGGUAAAUACUCUUAACCAAUUCACCAAUUGUUUAGCCACCUUAUGAGUUAUAUAUUAUACACGUUUUUUUUAUGUAUAUUAUAAUUUAUACUGACCAAUUGUUUUCUCUGUCGACCUGUUCGAAUUCGAGACCCCUGUCAAGGAUUCGGCCAUUGCCUUUGGCAGUUCGAUAUCGAGACAGAGAGAUCCAUAUCUGGUUGUGGAUGAUCCUCCACAACACCACUCCAAGCAAGAGGAAGUAUGAAACGUCUCUUUCUUUUGCAUCGUUAGCCACAAACAACCAGGUGCUGUGGAUGAUCCAUGGAGCCAAGAUCACGUACUGCAUGCAUAUAUAUCCCAGGCCCAUAUAAAAGUUAGAACACCAAAAUAAGCUCAUAUAUAUAUAUAUAUAUGAUGAAGCUGGACAGAAAACAAUGGAAGUAUGUAAUGAGGUAUGGCUUGUAUACGUAGCUUGCAGUUCGACAUGUCAUAUAAUAUACAGGCAUGAACAAGAGAGAGAGAAAGAGAGAGAGAACCUUGAGGCUUCCAAGAGCUUUCCAUGGCCACUCAGUAAGAAUUCCAGGCACAGAAGCCAUAUUCUUCUUUGUUUCUUUGUAGUGUAGCUUUGAAGGAGUAUAUGAUAUAUACAUAUAUAUACUUCAAGGUACGUACUGUAGAGUCCAUAUAAGCUUUUUUUUUUUUUUUUUUCUUUCUUUUAUUGGGAAGAAGGCUGGUUGUUUGUUAUAAAUUUUGAUAAAGAAAGUGAUGAAUUAUACAAUAUGAGGGUGACAAUACUCACCAUGUCCACCUACUUUUUUAUACAACUGUAAUGAUAAAUGUCUCAUCAAACAAAUUCUUACCUCUAUUAGUGUCCACAAGAGUAUUAUCUUUCAAAACCUCAUUACUUUCUUCAUUAGAACUUUAGGGGCUCGUUUGGUACACAGUAUUAUCUUGGCAUGGACUAUGUUUAGGGACUGGCUUGGCUUGGCUUGGCUUGGUCUAAGUUGGAUAACACUUAUCCUACAUUUGGUGUAUACUUGGACUAGGACUAGAAUUUUUUUAUUUUUUCAAAAAUAUCUAUAUAUAUGUAUAUAUGUAUUUUAUAAUAUAUAAAAUAUAUAUGUAUAUAUACAUACAUAUAAUAUAUAUAUAGGUGUAUAUAUGUAUAUUAUAAUAUACAUAGGUAUAAUACAUAUACAUAUAUUUAUAUAUAUGCAUGUAUAUUAUAAUAUAUAAUAUAUAUAUGGGUAUGUUAUAAUAAUAAUAAUAAUAAUAAUAAUAAUAAUAAUAUACAUGUAUAUACGUGUAUAUACAUAUAUUAUAUAUGUAUGUAUAUAUACAUAUACAUUAUAUAUAUUAUAAAAUACAUAUGUAUAUAUAAUAUAUGUAUAAUAUACAUAUAUAUAUAUAUAUAUUAUAUAUUGUAAUACAGUCCCCUUCUAUUGAGGGAUCCCUCAAAUAAUUUUAUUUGAGGGACGCCCUUUAGGGUACCCUAUAAUUCUUUUCCCAAUAAUCCAAACCAUCUAUUUUUUAGGUAUUCAUUCAUAGAUCAUCCUUACAAAAAAUUAGACAAAUCGAAAACCGUUUCGACAUCCAAUUGUGUCUUACAAAAUCAAUGAACACGGUGCUUUAAGAAAAGUACUAAAAUUUCAAUAACUCAAUUGAGUGGUCACAUGAUAUCGGAUUCAAGUGAUUUUUUGUAGAGAUGAUCUUUGAAUGAGUAUCUACAAAAUAGACAGUUUGGAUUAGUGAAAUACAAUCCGGAGUGGGGCCUACAAGGGGUGUCCCUCAAAUAAGUUAUUUGAGGAAUCCCUCAAUGGAAGCUCUCUGUAUUGUAAUAUACAUAUAUAUGUAUAUACAUGUAUAUAAUAUAUGUGUAUAUAGGUGUACCUAUAUAUUAUAAUAUAUGUAUUAUACCCAUAUAUAUAUUAUAAUAUAUAUACAUAUAGUAUAAAUAUAUAAUGUAUAUGUGUAUAUACGUGUGUAUGUGUAUAUUAUAAUACAUACAUGGGUAUAAUAUAUAUACACAUAUAUGUAUAUAUACUUAUAUAUAUAUAUUACAUAUAUACAUGUAUGCUAUUAUUAUAAUAUUAAUAUGUAUGUGUAUAUGGGUAUAUUAUAAUAAUAAUAUACGUGUAUAUAUGUACAUUAAUAUGUAAUAUAAUAUAUAUUACAUAUAUACAUGUAUACAUGUAUACAUGUAUGCUAUUAUUAUAAUAUUAAUAUGUAUGUGUAUAUGAGUAUAUUAUAAUAAUAAUAUAUGUGUAUAUAUCUAUAUGUAUUUAUAUAUAUAUAUAUAUUAUAUAUGUAUAUAUGUGUUUAUAUAUAUAUACAUGUAUAUGUGUAUAUACAUGUAUAUAUGUACAUUAUAGUAUAUGUGUAUAUAAUAAUAAUAAUAAUAUUAUUAUUAUUAUUAUUAUAUUACAUAUAUACAUGUAUACAUGUAUGCUAUUAUUAUAAUAUUAAUAUGUAUGUGUAUAUGAGUAUAUUAUAAUAAUAAUAUAUGUGUAUAUAUCUAUAUGUAUUUAUAUAUAUUAUAUAUGUAUAUGUGUUUAUAUAUAUACAUGUAUAUGUGUAUAUACAUGUAUAUAUGUACAUUAUAGUAUAUGUGUAUAUAAUAAUAAUAAUAAUAAUAAUAAUAAUAAUAAUAAUAAUAAUAAUAAUAAUAAUAAUAAUAGUAAUAUAUGUUAUUAGUAUUACAAUAUAAUAUAUGCAUCUUAUACAUUGGUGAACAUAGGACUAGCUAAUCCUCCCUUUCUACAUGGGCUUAGUAGUCCCCUCCUAAUGAGGUGUUUUUGGUGGGCCCGGUAUUAGCAAUCUCAUCUAAGACUAGAAUUAAAUGAAACAAACAUGGUACUAAAUUUAGUCCAAGCCAGUCCAAGCCAGUCCAAGCCAGUCCAAGCCAAGACUGUGUACCAAACGACCCCUAGAAGUUUGAACUGAUUAGACUUGAAGCCUAUCUUUUUCAAUCAAUUCUUCCAUUUCUUUCAAUUUUUGCUUUGCAAUUCUAUGAGUGUUAUCUGUCUCCACUCCCUUACUCAAUAUAUCAUAAACCAUUCGCAUCAAACUAUUUCGACGGAAAGUCACUGGUGAUUUAUAUAUCACUUAGUUGUAGAGAUUCUCCGCAUGCUCAUUUGCAUCCCGUUCUUUCUUUGCUUCUUUUGUCUACCAUUUCAAUAUGUAUUGAGAUGGUUUGUCAAAGAUGGUUUUGUUUUCAAUGGAUUUUCGUUGUGAUGCUUAUUGCUUUGUGAUGGUGGAGCAAGAAGGUGAAACAAAAAUGAGAAGAGGAUAGAACGGGUAGCAAGGAGGAAAAAAGAGAAGAGGACAGAAGUGAAGAAGAAGAAGAGAGAGAAGAAAAAAAAAAUUAAACUUUUGGAUGUUAACUAUCCCGUUAGUUGGUUGUUAGGGUUUUUUUAUAUUUUUUAAUUAGGAGUAAAUUGGAUUUUUGUUUUAGAAUGAUGUGUCAACUUUUAAAUCUGUUAGAUUAAAUUUUAAUGAGAUGACAUAUGGAGAAUAAAAGUAAAGCAGAUCAUGACAGAGAAAAUUAAAGCAGAAGAUCCAGAUCCCUCAUUUUCAAUCAAACGCAACCAACACUACUUUUACAAAAGGCAAUUAAGCGAAUCGACAAAUCUGUAUAAGAAAAAUCAUAUUUGAACCUUCUCAUCCAAAAGAUACCUAAAAAAAAUGAAUCUAUCUAGCAAACCAUCCUUUGGAACCGGAAACAAAAAUUUUAUUUAUCAACAGUUUCAACAAGCAGUGAACUUCUUCCUUCGACCAAAAAAAAAAAAAAACUUCUUCGGAUGUUAACUUCAUAAAAAUAAAAAUAAAAAUUGUUUAAAAAUUAAUGCCUCGCUUAGUAUAAAAUAAACAAAAAUUUGAGAAAAACAAAAAAAUUAAAGCUAACCACCCGUUUAUAUAUCUUCUAAAUUUUUCUUUAAGAUGACAAAAUGAAAUUAUAAUGUAUUAAGUUGAGGUGAUAUUUUCAAAACCUUCCCUUAAAAGUUCAUCGAAUCAAAAUUCUAAACAUUCAUCAAUGAGCUUAUUCAAGUUAGGCGUCUUCAUUAAGUAAUUUGAGUAAAAACGGCUGGAAAGCAAGUAGUUGAGAGGGCAGCUUUCACUUUCAAUAUUCAAGUUCAUUUCAACAACUACUUAAAUGACACGUCUUUAUUCAUCUCUAUAGAUACGUACCGACAUAGUUGUCCCGGAUCUUUAGAUGCUAACGUCUCCAUCUGUGUUGGAAUUUGGUUGAAGGACGAUAAUAACCGUAUACCAAAUUAGAAAUCAAAGCUAUCCUCAUUCUAUAUAAUAAAAUCCAAUUACAUUUAUAACAAAACCAGCUACUAACUGACGACACUCUCUUAAAGAGACACUUAGCAAAUUCAAGACUUACAAUUCAAAGAGUUUCUGUACUACGUUGAAUAAACUAGAACAAAACUAAAAACUUAAAAACGACGACAAAAGAAGAGUAAUUAACGAUAAUUUUCUUUCAAAACAUGACAAAAAACGCUACCUAAUCACUCCAUAACCCCAGUUUUACUUAGACCGCACUGAAGUUUUUCCCAUCUGAAAGUGUUUUAUAUUUCACAAAGAAAAAUAUUUUAUUGGAAGACGAUGUAUUAAUUAUUAGGGAGUGUUAGCAACUUUCUCUCUAACCUUCUCCUUUGGACCUUAUCUCUUCUUCUCAUGACAAGUGUCACUUUCUUUACACUUAAAACAAUAUCAUUAAUGCAUUACACAAACUAAUUUUUGUUUUCCAAGUUUACCUUUAUUAAAUGUAUUAAUUUAUUUUAAUAACAAGCUAAUUUUUUUUUACAACUUUCUUAUCACUUUGUUAAAAAAUUAAAUAAAAAAUAAAAAAUGAAGUUUUUUUUAUAAAAAAAAUUUCCAAAGAGAACGUGUGUUUUGAUAAAAACAAAAUAAAGAUGAUAACAAUAUCAUAUAACAAAUUUUAUUUUUUUAUAUUCUAAAAAAUGACGUUUUCCUUAUUUAAUUUUUAACAAUGUGCUAAAGAAAUUGUAACAAAAUUUGAAUAAAUUGAAGGAAAUAUAAAAGCCAAUAUAUUUUAAAAUGGUAAAUUUGGAAAAUAAAAACUAACUUGUGUUAUGCAUUAAUAACAUUAUUUUAAGUGUAAAAAAAAAAAAUAACACUUCUUAUGAAAAGAAGGAAGAAGAUUUAAAAAAAAAAAAAAUUAGAGAAAAAAUUGCUAACAUUUCUCUUAAUGAUUUGUGCACAUUCGGUGUUGCACUUCUUGCAGACCAGAAAAAAAAGAUGUCGCAUUGUUUACAUAUACGAAAGAUCAGUUCCAAUACCAAGAAAUCAAUGAAGCCAAGCCAAGUUCCAACAUCACUUCUGCCUUUUUUUUACAAUUCAAUCUACUUUAGAUUGUCUUUACUUGUACUUCUUUCGAGGUGUGUGACAUUAAUGCUUAUUAUAAAAAUAAAAAAUAAAGAAUAACUAUCGCAAAUCUUCCUUUGGGACACAACAGAAAACGUCUCCUAAGUUUUUCCCCGUGUGAUAUGGAAAGUAUUUUUUAUAUUUCAGAAAGGAAGCAUUUUAUUGGAAGACGACGUAUUAUUUAUUUAUUUAUGCACAUGGACAUUCUGUGUUGCUUUUCUUGCUGACCAUUAAUUUUGUUUUGCAUUACUUGCAAGUUGCAUCUAUGAAAGAUCAUUCCCAAUAAAUGAAUGAAGCCACCCCAAGUUGCAAAAUAACUUCUGCCAUUUAUAAGGUGUGUGACUUAAUGCUUAUUAUAAUUUAUUUUUUUUAUCAACUAGAACAAUUAGGUGUGGAAAAUUAUUGUAAAAGGUUAAAUAAAUUCAUUAAACUAGGGGACAUAUGAUUAUUUCAUUUCUUGUCCUCAAAAUAUAAAAUAUAAGAUUGGUAAGUCUAACUGAUGAAAAAGAAUCUUGAUAAUUAUAUAUAUAUGAUGUUAUUCUAUAUAUAUUAAUAUUAGGGCAUGUUUACGUAUUAGUAAUUGAUAUGGAAGGAAAGGGAAUGAUUUCUAUUCCUGACUUUCUCUAGGUUUACUUGCAAUUAGGAAUGAAAAAAUAAGCGGGCCCCAUCUCAAAAUUCGUAAACACAUUCUCUCAAAACUAGGUAUCAUAUCAACUAGGAGGGAGUAGUCAAUAUGAUUCCCAUUCCUGUUUUCUCUUAAUAACUUCGAAAAAUACCCUUACCACUUUACCAUAAUUCUAAAAUUAAUUUGGAUUUUGAUUCAUGCAAAUUAGUAAACAAUAACAAUGGGAAUCAAUCCCAUUCCUUUGCUAAUUCCAUAUGUUUAGUAAACAGUUUAAUGGGAAUAAUUCUACUCAUACUGAUUCAGUAGUUCCCCGAUUCUUAAAUUCUCCGAUUCCUUACUUUCUCUAUUACUGAUACGUAAACAUGCCCUUAGGGUUAUUUACAUAAAGGUCCUCAAACUUAUACCCAAGUUACAUUUUGAUCCCUCAACUAAAUUAUUCACUCAAAUGGUUCACCAACUCUCUAUUAUUCGCCAAAUUUGUCAAUUGUUACAUUUUGUCAAUAUUGUUGUGAAAUAUGAGGGCAAAUUGGUAAUUUCAAUGUUAAAAUAAAAUAAAAUAAAAAGCUCUGUAUGUGCAAGGUGGAUUGUGGUAUGGAACAAAAUGAUACAUAUACAUACAGUUGGUUUUAGUGGGACAAACAUGGUCAAUGAGUCAAAUUCUCUCCCCCUCCCCCAAAUGUUAUAUAUGAAAGUAUCCACAUAAUUCCCACAGAGUAUGUGUACUUCUACAAGGAGGGGGAAAGGGGUUCGUUGCUAGUAGGGAUGACAAUAGGUCAAAUCGAAGGUGGGUAGGUCAUUCUCAUUCCCAUCCCCGUUAAGUUUUUUCCCCUCAUCCCUGCCUUCAUUACCAACAAUAUGCAUAUAAGGGAUUCUCCAUCCCCAUCUUCGUUGGGGAAUAGGUUCUCCAACCCGCCUCAUUACAGAAGAAAAAAUCAAUAUAAAACUACUUUGUUGAAAGAAAAAAUAGGAUUCGGAUAAGAUAGUGAAUAUAUAUAUAUAUAGUCUAAACGGGAAGGGUUCAGGUCGGGGAUUAAAAUAUCAUAUUCUCCCAUCCCGAACACCAUUCCCAAAAAAUUCAUCGUACCCAUCCCCAUACUCAUUUUUUAUCCUUCAUACUCGACCAAUUAGGGUAAAUCCCCAGCGAAGACCGUUACCCAAGGAGAAAAUUGCCAUCCCUAGUUGUCAGGAGGUGCAAAUAGGAGAGAAAGAAAGAGAGAGGAGGGGGGAAACAGAAGGGGGGAGGAGUCUGUGGGGGAAUGGGGGAGAAGAAAUCGGGGGAGGGGGUUUGUUUGGGUUUGAGGAUUUUUUUUCCUCUUCUUCUUCAAUUUUUUAACUAAUUUUGUAUGAAUUUUAACCGUGUUUUUAUUUUUUAAUUAUGAAAAGUCAUAUUUAUCUUAAAAUUUAGUUAAAUGUAAUAGAAAAAUAGACGGUGAGACUAAUUUACCGAAUAAUAAAGAGUUUAUGGACAAUUUGAGUGAAUAAUUUAAUUGAAUGACCAAAAUACAACUUUAGUAUAAGUUUAAGGACAAUUUAAAUAAAUAACCCAUUAAUAUUAAUUUGUUAUAUCGCAAAAGUAUAUAACAUCUAAUUAUUUCAUUUCUUGUUCUCAAAUUUUAAAAAUAAAAUGAUAUUAUUUUACACACAUGAUUUUAUAACACAAGGAUAUUAUUUUAAUUUGUUAAACCCUUCUCACUCGUCACAUCACUGAAAGUUAAUCUCAAAGUGUAGAUUUUUUUGGCAUCUCCACUACAGUCCCUUUGAAAAAUUUGUAGGUAUAACAUUAUGAUUGCAGAGGCCACAGCCCUUAAAUUCGAUUGAUUGGACGGGCUUUUUCGAAAAGCAAAAGCAUCAUAUCCACGCGUAGAUGCUGAUCGUCUCGUAAAUCAUUGUUGGGCAUUUACUUGGACUGUUGAGUUCUCGAUCGGUUGAGAACUUGGCAGAUAAGCUUGUCUGCGAAAAUUAAGUAUUAUAUAGUGAUGUGGUAAAUGGUCCUAACUUAAAACAGCAACCAAUAAAUUCAUAUAAUGUGAUUUUUUAAUUGGCUAUGUUUUGUGUGGGAGAGGUGGAAGCAAAUAAAUUGAUGGGCUGAUAGGCUUGAGGGAAAAAUAAGAUUUGGACCUAUUAUAUGAUAGGUCACACGUCGUUAUUUAUAAUCUUAUAUUUAAUUCAACAAUUAACAAAUCACUAAUGAAAUGACCUUUCUCAUUUAUUAUAAUCAACGUUGUACAACAAUAAGUUCGAUAUGAUAUAUCAGACCUACCUACAACCCUAAUUCAAGCAUUUUAUGUUAUUUGUAUUUUUAUUCAAUAAUUGUCGUCUAUUAUAUUUCAACAAUUGUCGUCUAUUAUAUCUCUUACAAUAAAAUAAAGACUAUGCGUUUAGACUCAAUAUCACACUCUUGUACACAUGAAUACCAGUAUACUGGUAGUUACCAGUGUUGUAGAAAGGGUAAGGUAUCCCAAUGUUUACUAUUUAGGUGUCAAUCCCAAUGCACUGGUGCAAUAAUUUUUAUUAUUAAAACUAAUGUCUCUAAUUUACUAGAAUGUGAAAGGACUAGACAGACAUAAUGAUAGUAAGAAGAAAAUUCAUGGACUGCCCAAAUGUCACUAAAGCCAAUUUGGUGAGUUGGAGAUGGUGACUAUUAUAUAUAUAUAUAUAUAUAUAUAUUUAUUUAUUUAUUUAUUUUUGUAGUGAGUUGAUGUGACGUAAUUUUUGUUUGAAUUCUCUAAAGGGCAGGGAGCUUCUUUUGGCAAUCGAAUUAAAAGUAGCUGCUUAAUUAAUGCAGACGUGAGCGUGCGUUGUUGAAUUUUGGUAGCUAUUUUGGUAGUACUCUUAUCAUUUUAUACACUAAAUUUUAACCUUAAUCUAAACAAAUUUUCCUAUGUAUAAUGUUAGCCUUUAAUUUAAUAUAAUUUUUGUUAUAUUAUAUAAAACGAAAUUAAUAUAAUGUGAUGUGUUACGCCAUAAAAUGAUCUUGUAAAUGCAUAUCUUUAACAUGCGUUGGGUUCAAGAAAUUAAUGUGAUAGGGCCUUCUCAACCUCACCCUGUAUUGAGCCACAAUAAUCAUCUUCAAACUAGACUAACCUAGUAAAAUUAAUCUUAAGCUUGAUGAUAUACAUGUGCAAUUACAAAAUUGUCAAAGAAAACCAAAAAAGAUAAACUAACAAAGUUUAACCUAACAAUCACUCAUGUGUUUACUUUACAUAAAGGAAUAAGAAGGCAAGCGAGACCACACAAUUUAAUAAUAUUUACUCAUGUGCUUUUGGAGGAAUUGAACUCUUGGGUGAGAGGUGGUAUGCUAUUCUAAUUCCUUGGAGAACUGGCCCAUUAGGAAUCCAACUUUUUUACUCAUUAUAUUCUCACGCAAAUUUUAAAAUUUCAAAUUUAGCAUAUACUUUAACCCAAUAAUUUAUUUAGAACAACUGCAUUUUAGUACUCGAACUAGUAUUAAUUUCGAUUCACAAAAAUUUAGUAAACAACUUAUUAUAAGGAAUUAAUACCAUUUCUACCUCGAUUUCACAUGAUUUAGUUAACAACUUUAAUGGGAAUUUAGAUUCCAACUCCUCAUCAAUUAUCAAUUCCUCCUAACCCGAUUAUAGAUUACUAAACAUAUCUAUAAAGUAUUUGGACUCCAUAUAUCACAGUAAGAAAUAUUCCUUUUAAGCAUAUAAUUAAAGUUUAAUUAUCGAUGUGCUCCUUGUGCUUUGCUGGAAAUUCUACUUUACCCCCUACAUUUCAAACUGGGUCAAUAUAUGCCUCAUGUGCUUUAUUUCCGUGUCCCCCAUUCCCCCAUUCCGUCAAUUUGAUUAGUAAAACUGUUAACUUAUUGACGUAGCAUAAUCCUUUUAGUAAUUUUAGCUAUUAAACAAAUUUUAAAAUCUAAUUUAAAUAUAAAAAAUAUUUUAAUAAUAUUUUAAAAAAUAAGAUUAGAAAGAUAAAUUAAAAAAAAAAUAAAAAUUCCCAGCACCCCAGUAGCCCCACCACCACACCUCCCACCAUAACCCAAUCCAAUCCGCCUAGCCACCCAUGACCAGCACUCCGCCAUGGUUCAAAUAUGAUCUCCUUACCCAGGUGAUAUACCUAUUCCAAAAUAUUGAUAACAUUCUCUCCAAUCCACUUAGCCACUUUCACCCCCCAGCCAUGGGUUGUUGGGGGCGGUAGUUGGUGAUGGAGAAGGGUUGGGUUGUGGUGGGAGGUGUGGUGGCUAUUUGGGUGGUGGUUUUUUUUUUUUUUUUUAAAAUAUUUUUUAUAUUUAAUUUAGAUUUUGAGAAUUUGUAGAUCUAAAAUUACUAAAAUACAUAUGUCAAGUUAGUAAGUUAAUGAUUUUACUAACCAAAUUGACAGAAUGGGGAACGAGGGACACAGACAUAAAACACAUGGGGUAUAUUGACGUAGUUUGGAAUAUAAAAAAUAAAGUGAAAUUUUCAAUAACAUACAAGAGUCACAUCGAUAAUUAAGCCUAUAAUUAAUCACUCAUGAGUUGAUGAUGGCAAACCUAUAUAUUUUUGCCGACUAAAGAUAUCAUGGUCAUGUGAGUCAUAUCAGACUUAUUAGCUCUUCUGUUCUUUCAAUAUGUUGAUUAUUUGAGACAAUUCUCAAAACUUUUAUUUUGUGCACUAGCUUUUUUUUUUUUUUUUUCCCUAACACAAUCAUUAAAUCUAUAUAUAUAUAUAUAUAUAUAUAUAUUUGAAGCACACAUUUAGAUAAUAAUUCACCGAAAUGGAAUACAUUUACUAUACACACUUCAUUAUAUAUGCCAUGUGUUGAACUGUAUGCUUCAAAUGGAAUACAUUUACUAUACACACUUCAUUAUAUAUGCAUCAUGGGUUAAUAUAUGAUUAUAUAUGGAUCUUUCUUUUUGUGUGUGAUGUAUUGGGUUUGGCAGCAUGUGAUCUUGGCUCCUUGGAUCAUUCAUGGCGCAUACUCGUUUGUGGUUAAUGAUGGGAAAGAAAAAGAUCUAUCUUAUUUCCUCAUCUUUCCAUUUAUGCUGUGGAGGAUGAUCCACAACCAGAUAUGGAUCACUCUGUCUCGAUACCAGACCGCCAAGGGCAAUGGCCGAAUCGUUGUACAAACCUCUUGAGUUUGAGCAAGUCGACCGAGAAAGAAAUUGGUGAGCAUUUAUAAAGACCUAAAUAAGUUUUAGAACUUAACUUUGACACGUAAACUCGCAAUGUAAUCUCAUAAUCCGUCUGAAAACAAAGUAUCCAAGUUCUAUACUUAAGUAAGGGACUUGUGCCCAGUUAAGAUCAUGCAUCAUUGCACUUGAAGUCUUAAAUU